Molecule: long non-coding RNA, 53616 nt
Filed under: Vigna radiata
Lineage: Eukaryota; Viridiplantae; Streptophyta; Magnoliopsida; Fabales; Fabaceae
Description: long non-coding RNA (VRAD_LNC002357)
Source: RNAcentral
GGGCAUUGACGAGGACGGGGAGUGACCGCUGAUGCAAGAGGCACGAAGUGCAAGAGGCACAAACAAGGAGCGGCUCCUGGCAGACUUCCAAUGGAAGGGACACAUGGAAGAAUCGAAAAUAGAGAUUGCAUAGGUAUAAGAUCUAUCUAUAGAUAAAAAAUACACAAAUAAGAAAUAUCAUUUUAUGUAAUUUUAUGUACAGUAGUGGGGAAUUAUGGGACAAAAAAUAAAUCCGCUUAGUUUCAGACUUGGUACAACUCAAAGUCAUGAUUCUAUUUGGUUUGCACAACCAACAAAAUAUUCUGAGAAUAUACAAGAAGAUAAAAAAAUACGAGAUUGGAUAAAAAAUUAUAUACAAAAAAAUAAAAGAAUAUCCUCGGUAGCCAAACCCAUAAGAAUUUCAUGGUUAAGCGUGUUUAACCUGAAGUAAUUUAGGAAAGGAUGCCCUUCUGGAAAGUUUUCUCGGGAAGUGUGCGUGUGUGAAAUUUUCCAACAAGCAAUCACAAAUAGAUAUUUACAAUGUGCUUAGAAAAUGUCAUUGAACAAACAUAGAACUGUAGUCUAUGCAAAUGUAGAAAUGAUGUAAGAUGUCAUGCACAAGAACACCCCAAACUCAAAUUUUUAUAUUGUCCCCAAUGUAUAGAAAAUAAUAAGUGUUAAAAUUAACAAUGAUAAUUGUUAAUGUUAUAUUUAAUUGUAAAAAUGUUUAUAAAGAGUAAAAAAAUUAACAUUAAUUAUUAAAAUUAAUUUUAAUAUUAUAAAAAAAUUGUUUUAGUAAAAUGAAUUUAUUUUUAAAUUUAACAUAAUAUUUUUAAAAUGUAAAAAUUUAGUAUUUAAGUAAAGUAAAAUAAUUAUUUUUAAAAUAAUAUUUUUUGAAAUAAAAUAAUUGCGUGCAUAAAAGAAUUUUAACUGAUAAGCAACACCUUAAUUCCUUGGUGUAAUCUAUAACAUAGGCCAACAGCUGGAGCCUCUUUGACGUUCACUUUUCACUAGAAACUGUAGUUCUAGAUGGUGUACCCACCUUUAUUUUGUUUGUUUUGGUUUGAGUUAUUAACCAUGUUAAUGAAGCUGUAUCUCACUUAUAUACCAUAUAAUCACCAUUUCACAUAGGUAAAGUUUAGUUUUGGAAGCUCACAAAAAGAUAAAGUAAAUAUCAAAUCAACUCAAGAUAUGGUAUGGUAUGGUUCUCUCGAAGCUUGGUGCACGACGCCCUGCAAACAUGACCAAAUCGAAACAAGGGAACCGAAUACAUCAAAUAAAGGAAUCGAAUACAGGGUGCAUCUUUACUAAGGAACUGAAUAUAUAAAAUGGGGAAUCGAAUACAAGCUUAUUUAUAUGUGUGAGUGGAGCUGUAAUCGAUUACGGUUCACGUGUAAUCGAACACGACAAUAAAGAACUGAAAUCCGUUCUUUACUGUGGUAUUUUAAAAUAACUUGAGGGUAAAACUGAUUUUUUAAACAAAAUCCUCUCAAAUCCGAACACAUAGCGGGUGAUAAUAAAAAACUACUCUACUAUAUAUGAAAUAUACCGAUGAGAGUUAAUUGUCAUUUAUAGACAAUUAUCAGGUAUUAAUAGGUCGGAUUGUCUUAUCUUUACAAAUAUAAUGUAUUGAUUAUUAAUUAUUGGCUUUGAUUACCUAGAAAUAUAUUGCAUUAAUGUUUAAUCAAUGGACCUGGCUAUCACAAGUCCUAUAAACAUACAAUGGAUGUAGAAGUACAAUCAUCUUCUUCUACACAGAACUCUUUAUGAAACAUAUCUUACUUGGGUGUCGAAGUGUCUUCUGCAGGUCAACCACCACUCGGGAAUGAUUACUUGAAGAGUUGGUCGAUCGAAGGAGAUCAAAGAAGAACGAUCGAUCCUUGGAACGGACAACUUUAAAUGUUUUGGGUUAGGGAUCUCAAUUCAAUCGAAACAAUUACAUAUCUCAUAAAUCCGUUUAAAUCAUUCUUCGCAUCUAUCUUCAAACGAACAUGUUUUAUUUCCUUAAUAAACACUUACAUUUCCUUUUGAACUGGAAAUGUGAACAAAGCAUAAAUUUUUUGAACACAAAUUCAACCUAGCUGUUAUAUUUAAAAAUAUCUAAAAGUACAAAAUGAAAAAAAACAUAAAGAAAACUUAUACAAGUAAAACAUCACUUAUUUUUUUUUUUUAGAGUGAAUGAUAUGUGAUUGACAUUAUUACCAAUGCGUCAAAUUAAAUAUAAAGAUAAGAGAUUUACGAAAAAAAAAAAUCUUUUAUGAUAUGUUCACUUGAAAUGAUAUAUUUGGAUGAGAGAUAGUUGAUGAAUUUGAAGAGAUUUAGAAGUAAAUUGAUUGUUGUUAUUUUAAGGGAUUUGGAUGUGGGUGGGGAUGGAUUUAGAAAUAAAAAUUGUUGACUGAUGUGAUAUAUAAAAAAAUGGUUUAAUUUGAAGAAAUUGAAGAAAAUUAUUAAAAUAAUCGUAAAAGUGAAAGUAAUAUAAAAUAAUAAUUGUUAAUAUUAUAUAAUUGUAAAAAUUAUUAUAAGAAGAGAAAAAAAUAAAAUUUAAUUUUUAAAAUUAUAUUAUUAUUAUUAUUAUAACUUUUAUUAUUAUCAUUAUUACUAUUAUAAUAAUUAUUAUUAUUAUUGUUUCGGUUAUGAGUCCCGAGACCGAAGACACUUCAAGUUCUCUUUCACUCUGACGUUCUUUCCACGCUUAUCGAAAAUCUCUUCUUCGAUGCCGAACGGUUGUGACCUGCAGGGAAACACUCUGACGCAGGGUCACAAGAAGGUGAAUGUGUGUAUAAUUAGAUCAAAAGUGAGUUACCUUAUUGUUAACUUUGUAUUUAUAGGCAUUAGACCCAAUCAUCCGCAUUAACUGCCUGUAAAUACUAUAUCUUUUGUUUCCCUUUCGUAAUAUUCGUCAAUUAAGACCAUUAAUUACCUUUUAAUGUUGCCUUCAAGGUUUCAUCAUUGUUCAACUGUCUAUUCGUACUUCUUCAGUCUAAACCGACCGGUCUCUUAUCGUCUUCGUCCUGACCGGUUGAUCGCCUCCCUCUGAGCCGUCUAUCCGUACCUCUUCAGUCUAUAGUCUUCGUCCUAAUCGGUCAACCACCUCCCCCUAAUACACAAUAAUAAUUAUUAUUAUUAAUCGAAAGAGAAAGAGAGAAUUUAUAAAAGAAACGUGAAGCACUUGAGAUAUGACUUUGUGUAAAAUACUCAUUAUGGAUGGGUCUCAUUCUCCACCAAAACAUAUAGAUUAAUAGGUAUUAGAGAUUUGGUGUAUUAAGGAACCCAAAACACCACAAGGGGAACUGAAUACAAAACCUUUUUUAUUUGUGCAUUGAACGAGAAUCAAAUACGUACGGUUCAGCAGGAACCGAAUACAGGCAUCAGGGAACCGAGUAUUCAACCUCCUUCAAGUUAUCUUCUUUAUAUUCAAGCUGUCUUCUUCAUCUUCAAGUUUUCUGAUCUUCAUCUCGAGGACAAAGUUAACUUUUAAAAGUAAAUCACUCCAAAUCCAAACAGCUUCGCGAUAAAAAAAUAUAUAUCUCGCAAACCUUCGUAAAUUUUUCUUUUGCAUAUCUGUUCAAACGAACACAUCCCAUCCCUCAAAUCUAUUUUCACUUUUCUUCUUCAAUAUAGUGUAAUCAUCUCAUGUAAUCACAGCCUUAGUAUUAUAUUUGACAUGUAUUCAUAAACUAAAACCUGCACGUCUAAAGUCAUAAAUCAUAGGAGGAAAAUAAAUCAGUCGCAGAAUGAACUAGUGUAAUUGUGAUGUAUAUCAAAUGAAUUAAACUGAAAAAAAUAAUUAAAAGUUAUUAUAAAAGAUAUACCAGCAAUAAAACAGGUGUGAAUAUUAAUAAUUAUUGUGUUGGAAAUAAUCUUACAAAGGUACAACGCGGAAAAUUUCAAUCUUACAAACAUAAACAACAAUUUAUUUUGGACUGUUGUAUGCAUUCAAUUGUCAAAAGUUUAAGUUGGUAUAUAUGCCACUUGUUAUUUUGUCCUUCACCUCUUAUGCAAUGUACUAUACCUUAUUUCUAUUUUUCAUGAAUGACCAUAUAUAAUUAUAUUAUAUGCCAGGGAUUGCAACUUCAUAUCAAUGAUCAUUUGAACUCAAAUAAUUGAAAGAAAAAAAAAACAAAAAUUAAUGUCACAAACAAUUGAUUGUAGUGACUUAUUUCUAACCGAUGAAUAUUUUCAAUUUUUUGAAUCAAUUAUUGAAUAAUUAAUUUACAUUUUUUAUUAAGAGUCAUUGUCGAUUUUACAACUGUUAGAUACAUUACCCAUAAAACAGUCAGCACACAGCACCCUUCUAAAGCAUAUCUUCCACCAUUUUUUUUAAUCUUUUAAUCAGCUUCACGAUCCAAUUGAAGAAGAAAAGGUUAUACACGUAUGUUAUUAAUUAAAUUAGGGCUUUAUCAUCACUUUGCUACGCAAACACAAGUCAAAGUAGCCAAGGGUAAGGACCAAGCUAAACAUGUCAACCCAAGAAAUUAAAGUUUCGUGCCACGUAUACCAAUUAACCCUAAUGUGUGGUAUUGAGGAAAUAAAAUAAUCUACAAUAUAGAUUGUGAUUUGGAUUCCCUUUUGUCCGUACUUGAACAACCCAUCAAUAAUUGCAAGUUUGCAAUUGAUGUUACAUCAAUUAUGGAAUAGGUUAACGUCACGGAAGUUAAAUAGUGGACAACCAAAGCAUAUGUGGAACUUGUUUGUGUUUUUUUGAAGAUAAUACACGAUUUUUACGGGAUAAAAAAACAAAACAAAAAAUUCGGUAUUUUGAUGUGUAGAAAUUUUAGGAGAAGAAUGAAAUGUCAAGUACAUUUUUUUUGUUUUAUAGUUGUAUAUUUAUAAGAUGUCAUGUAAAUUUUGAAAAUGAAUUUAAGAGAAACAUAGAAAUGGAAAGAAAAACCAUAACAUGAACCUAUAUUAAUCAUGCUAUUUAAGAUUUAACUAAUAGAAUUCGAACUAAAAAUUCAUAAUUUAUUAUGUGUGUUGUUGUUUGGACAUUUCCGUUGAUAUUAAGAGUGGUAUAACAAAGAUGGCAAGUGUUACAAGUUAACAUGUUACUCUAAUUGAUGCAAAAUGGAUUCGGGAACUUUUCAUGCUCGUGAUGUUGUUGUGAUGUUGGCCAUGUCUUCCACUAGAUCUCCAAUUUAUGUACGUAAGUAACACACAUAAUAAGAAAAUGGCAAGUGCUACAAGUUGACAUUGCCCUUUUUGAUCGAUGCAAGGUAGAUGUUGGGAUGUUGGGCAAGUUGUGAUUUUUAGCCUUUAUAAUGCACCAAAGUGUCUGGCUUUUAAUUGUGGUGUACUUGUUGGGGAUGGAUCCAUUGAUAAAAACAAUGAGAAAUAACACUAUGAAAAAUCGAAUUUACUGUCGAUAAAAAUAUGCUAUAAAAUAAUUUCAGCGAAGAUAAAAGUAAUAUUUUAAAUUAUCUUAUUUGUUUUAUAGCAGAUAUUUGAUUUUUAAUAAAAUUACACAUUUUUUAAUACUAGAUGUUUAAAUUCAGAACACUAUAAUUGCAAUAAUGACGUUACUUUUGGCCUCAUAAAAAGCUGUGGUUUUAUCAUCUAGUUCCCAAAGGAUGAACAAGAUAUGCGAAUAUUUGGGGGGCUUCAAUCACGAAUCACGAAUCACAAAUAAAAAUAAUACAAUGUAUUGGUCUACUAGAUUGGAAUAACCUAUUUUAUAUAUUCAUGAUAAAUAUAUAAAUCCAAUUUAGAUAAAAAGUAAACAAUAAAUAUAAUAUUAUAUAAUAAUAAUAAUAAUCAAUGUUGUUUACAAUAAAAUAAUAUUUCAAAUGUUUAUCUAUUUUUUUUCCUGAAAUAGUAAUAAACAAUAUACUAAUAUUUAUUUUAAAAUUUCCAUACCCAAUAUUCUUUUUUAUAAUUGGUGGUGAAGAAGCAGAGUUCUGAGAUCCUGUUUGGGCUGCUUGGUAGCAGUUCAACUUCCAACAUGUUCAUAAUUUCACUCAAUUAUAAUACUACUUGCUUCCCAGCUAUUUAAACUUACCCAAUAGUUUUGCGUGCAAUUUCCUUUCCCUCUGGGUAACCAAAUUAGCACUUACCAAUAAUCCGUAUAAAAUCUCACUUAUUCAAAUUUAUUUUAUAUUAAAUCAAACUCUCCUUUUUGAAAAAAAAGAGAGUUUAAUUUGGUUUAUAAUAAUUUAAACUAAACUUUAUCACCUUCAUGACUCACUCCAUAAUAUAAGCAAAAAAGAAAAGUUAUUUGGCCAUUGGAGGGAGAACAAUAAUUUAAAACAGGUUUAAUAGUUUGCUAUUAAAAAAAAAAAAAACUAUUGUAUUUUGCCAGAACAUUACAUGCAAUUGAUGUUUUCCGACAAAAAAACUAUUGUGAUUUUCCUCAAAGAAUUGACGUAUUUAUCUCAGAAUUGUCUAGAUCAAUUCAAUGCUCCAAGAAUCCAGCUUCAACACUUCAUAAUCACAUGUGUCCACGUAAUCAUCGACGUCUUUUUUGGCCGCCAUUAUCAUCACAAUGAUCUUCCUUCUUUCUACAUCAAGUCACAAUCACGUCACCACGUCUGGGAUCCAACGCCUCACAACACUCCACGUGUCGGAAUCGGAAUGCACACCAAGACUCCGCCACGCUAUAAAAGCCACCUUACUUCGCAUUCAUUCAAUAUCUCGCACCAAAAUUUGAGAAGCUAGUGAUCAAUCUUCAGCCCUGUGCUGAGUGUGUUUCUCCGCUCCCCCAUCUUCUUCCAUUGGAGGACCUUCUCCUCCAGGAAUAGGAUAACACUUUUUCUCUUCUCCAAAUUCUUAAGUUAACUUCCUUCAUUAUCACCUUCUCGUGACGGUAACUUUGGUGAGUUCAGUUUUUCGUUGCGUAGCAGUAAAUGUAAUUUUACUUGGAGGAGAUUUAUGAAAUCUUGCUUUGGAUUGCGCGUUGGAAAUUAAGAUUUUCUUUUACUAUUUCGGAGGAGACCAAGUACAACGUCGGGGUCACGCUAGAUCUCUCUAGAUUCUGUUAAAGUUGUCUUUUUUUUUUCGUUGACAAAACUACCCUCGUGUCUUAAGGAAACUACACUGUUAGUCAGUACUCCCAGAUGAUUUCUGAUGCUAUUUUCUUUUGUUGCAAACUCAGCCUUCCUAAAAGGAAGAAAAAGAAACUGCACCGAUUAAUUAUAAAAUUCUAUUUCAGAUGAAGUUUGGUUUUAGCUUUUGCUAUGCUCUAACUUCGCCUUGUUUUUUAAUAUGUUGUCAUUUUCAUUAACCAAUAGUGAGACCAGAGUUAGGGAGAAGUAUAGCAACAAAGCACGUUUGCACUAAACGACAAAGAUAAAAAAGGAAGGAUCAUAUUUUUGUAGGUUCAUUUUAGAGUUUGAUUGUUAAUUUUCUUCCAACUUUUGGGGUAUAGGUUAAAAAGAUGACGGUGCUAAAGACAACACCAACGCAGUUCCCUACGUGGAUUCCUCCAUUCCGUGAACCACGUCGCUGUCUAUCUAACAUGUGCUUAACCUUUAGCAUCCAUCACCAUCGUCAUAAGCCCCUAGGUCUAUAUUACGAAACUCCUUAACAAUUUUAGACUGAUGAUAAUGUACAUAAAAAAUCAGCUUAUGUGGUAUUUUGUAGCUUUUGGAGUCUUAAUAAUCGAAUAUUUGUAAAUUUUGUUGAGAUGCAGUGAAUUUUAAUUUUGAUAAUAUAAUAAUCUGUGUUGUUUUGGUUUGGUCAUACAGUUGUGAAGUGUUCGAAAAUGACUGUCACUCCUAAGAUCUCCGUCAACGAUAAGAAAUUGGUUGUUCAUGGCAAGACCAUAUUAACCGGAGUACCGGACAACAUUGUGCUCACUCCAGGAUCUGGAGGUGGCCUAGUGACUGGUGCUUUUGUUGGUGCUACUGCUUCCCACAGCAAAAGUCUCCAUGUGUUUCCAAUGGGUGUCUUGGAGUAAGUUCUUCUUGCUUUUCCUCACUCACAUGCAGUCUAUAUCACAUCCAACAUGUUCUAUUUUCAGCAGAGAAAAUAACGAAAUUGUUAUAAUUUACAACAUGAUGGUGAAUAUAAUUUGCUCAAGUAUAUAUAAGCGUAGAAAAUUUGACAGUAGCAAGUUAAACUGGAUGUGUGUUUGGAUCUGUAACCAUGAGUGUAGGCUUUGACAUUACAUGAAUUGGUGAUUUCUAAUUUCUCAUUUCUGAUAUAAUCUUGGAAUAGGGAGCUCCGGUUCAUGUGUUGCUUCCGGUUCAAGUUAUGGUGGAUGACUCAGAGAAUGGGAACUUGUGGGAGGGAUGUUCCACUGGAGACACAGUUCAUGCUGAUUGAGAGCAAAGAGAGUGAAGUGGAUGGAGAGAAUUCUCCAACCAUCUACACUGUCUUUCUUCCUCUUCUCGAAGGUCCAUUCCGAGCUGUUCUUCAAGGCAACGACAAGAACGAGAUAGAGAUUUGCCUCGAGAGUGGUGAGUAACUCUUAGCCAUGCAAAAUGGUUUGGCGGUGAAAGGCUACAUGGAAGUCUUCCGUCGUGUCAUAACAUAGUUUAGUGCCAUAGCUGCUGUUAAUUCAGUUCCUUCCCUUCCCUUCAGCCAUACUUUUAAGGGGUGGAGCUGUCAUUUGUGGAUUGAAUUGAGCUGGAUAAACUUCUCUCGAUGAGUCAAUCAAUUGAAUCAAACAAAUGGAGUUUAUAGCUUUGGUCCUUUGGAGAAAAUAUAUAUAUAGCAUGGCGUCCCAAAGAACCGAAACGACCCUUUUCUUUUUGGUAUGUGGUAUGGUUUUGCAGGGGAUAACGCGGUUGAGACUGAUCAAGGCCUUCACCUAGUUUACAUGCAUGCUGGGACCAACCCCUUUGAAGUCAUCAAUCAAGCAGUGAAGUAAGGCACCCCCGUUUGUGUUUUCCAUCUAAAUUGAUUUAAAAAAAAUUAAGUGUAUGCUGACGAUUAUAUUUUACUGAUUCCUUCUCUUGUUCUUUCUAGGGCUGUGGAAAAACACAUGCAAACUUUUCUUCACCGUGAGAAGAAAAAGGUAAGACCCUUUUCUCAUGGCUCUAGCUAUUAUGCCAAGCUAAUACAUAACGGAUCCUUUUAACCUUUUAUUGUUGGUUUUAUGCAGUUACCCUCUUUUCUUGACUGGUUUGGUUGGUGCACAUGGGAUGCUUUCUAUACUGAUGUCACAGCUGAGGGUGUAGAGGAAGGCCUGGAAAGGUAAUUAGUGAGAGAAAUUGAGUACAUGUUUCUCAUUAACUGAAGAAAAGAUGAAUUUUGAAGAUAAUGUUUAUAGAACACCGAAAUUUGUUCAAUAUGAUCACAGUCUAUCUGCGGGAGCUACACCACCACGGUUCCUAAUCAUAGAUGAUGGCUGGCAACAGAUUGAAAGUAAACAAAAGGAUGUUGACUGUGUUGUACAAGAAGGGGCACAGUAAGAUUUCUCUGUUUUUGUAAUUAAUUACUAAUUAGUGACAUUUUCCUUAAUUCAAUACCUAUCUCAAUUAUGAAGUCCUAAUGUUCAAGAGAAUACCAAUUGUUAUUUUUGUAAUUUAUCUGAUUAAAUCACUAUAAACCAUGAUGAUUGCAGGUUUGCUACUAGGCUGACUGGUAUUAGAGAGAAUACUAAAUUUCAGAAGAAAACACACAACAGUGAGCAAACAUCAGGUCUGAAGCAUUUAGUAGAAGGAGUAAAGCAGCAUCACAACGUGAAGUAUGAUCAUGGAUCUUUUAAUCCUUUUCAAUAUUGUUCAAGUAGCUUGGCUAAUCAAGUUUCUGACUUCUUGAUUGGUUCCUCUGUUCAUGAACAGAAAUGUUUAUGUAUGGCAUGCAUUAGCUGGUUAUUGGGGUGGAGUGAAACCAGCAGCAACUGGCAUGGAGCAUUAUGACACUGCCUUGGCAUAUCCAGUGCAGUCACCAGGUGUGCUUGGAAACCAACCAGACAUUGUCAUGGACAGCUUGGCCGUACAUGGCCUAGGCCUAGUGCACCCAAAGAAGGUUUUCAAUUUCUACAAUGAGCUCCAUGCUUACUUGGCUUCUUGUGGAGUGGAUGGAGUGAAGGUUGAUGUGCAGAACAUUAUUGAGACCCUUGGUGCUGGACAUGGUGGAAGAGUCUCUCUUACACGAAGCUAUCAUCACGCUCUUGAGGCUUCCAUUGCUCGUAACUUCACUGAGAAUGGAUGCAUUGCUUGCAUGUGUCACAACACUGAUGGCCUUUACAGUUCCAAGCAGACUGCUGUUGUGAGAGCCUCUGAUGAUUUCUACCCUCGUGAUCCUGCUUCCCACACCAUCCAUAUUUCUUCUGUUGCAUACAACUCACUUUUCCUUGGAGAAUUCAUGCAACCAGAUUGGGACAUGUUUCAUGUGAGUAGAAAUGUGCAACUCAUCUUAAUUGAUAUUUUACCGUAUCUUCUUUUUUUUCUUCCUUGGGAAUGUUUCAUGAGCUAUAAAUAUUCUUGUUAACAAAAAGAUCUGUGAUUUCAGAGUUUACACCCUGCAGCAGAAUAUCAUGCUGCGGCUCGUGCAAUUGGUGGAUGUCCAAUUUAUGUGAGGUAUAGUGAUGUUCAUUCAUUGCACUUGCACAUAUUUUCAUUACAUGAAAUUGGCACCAUUGUUAUGCGAUUCUUUUAUUUAUUUAUCAUGUUUUUCCAGUGACAAGCCAGGCUACCACAAUUUUGAUCUUCUUAAGAAACUGGUUCUUCCUGAUGGUUCGGUUCUCCGAGCACAAUUACCAGGGAGGCCAACUCGUGAUUCUCUGUUUGUUGAUCCAGCCAGAGAUGGGACUAGGUUUGUUUAUCUAAAUCUUCAUUCUUUAUAAAGCUAUGUUCCAUAGACAUGUAUUAAUGACUCAUUUAAUAAACUACAAUUUUCAGCUUGCUCAAAAUCUGGAACAUGAACAAAUGUUCUGGAGUUGUUGGUGUAUUUAACUGCCAAGGUGCUGGGUGGUGCAAGAUAGAGAAGAAAACUCGCAUCCAUGAUACAUCUCCCGGUACACUAACUGGCUCUGUCUGUGCCUCUGAUGUUGACCUUAUCACCCAAGUAGCAGGUCCUGAAUGGCUUGGAGAGACAAUUGUUUAUGCUUAUAGAUCAGGUACUAUUAAUUUACUCUGUCAUUCCCUUACCAUCAGUUUUAAUAUUUACAAAGGAUGUGUAAUACAAGAUGAAAUAACUAUCUCGAAAUUUCAGGUGAGGUGAUUCGGCUACCAAAGGGGGUUUCAGUUCCGGUGACACUGAAAGUUCUUGAGUUUGAACUUUUUCAUUUCUGUCCAAUCCAUGUGAGGAUCUACUAUUAGCUUUGAUGUAUGCUUAACUUUGAUGUAUGCUUAACUUUACUACUAUUGUUUUAUUGAACAGGAAAUAGCACCAGGUAUUUCAUUUGCAGCGAUAGGGCUACUUGAUAUGUUCAACACUGGAGGAGCUGUGGAGCUGGUUGAAAUUCACAGAGCCUCUAACAACAAACCAGAACUGUUUGAUGGUGAGGUGUUAUCAGAAUUAACCUGUUCUCAGAGUCCUAACCGAGCAGCAGCAGCAACUGUUUCUCUUAGAGUCAGGGGAAGAGGCAGGUUUGGAGUUUACUCCUCUCAACGCCCAGUGAAAUGUGUAGUAGAUGGCUCUGAAACAGACUUCAACUAUGAGUCAGAGAGUGGGUUGGCAACCUUCUCCAUCCCAGUUCCUCAAGAGGAGAUGUAUAGAUGGGCAAUAGAGAUCAAAGUUUGAGUCUUUUUUGAAGACCUGGUGUUUGAUGAAAUGCCGUGUCAGGAAAAGGGUGCUGCUGUAGUUAGCAUUGACUCAUUGAGGGAAUUGUUGGGGACAUGGGGGUGGUGAAAUACCAAAAAAUAAGUUGAUCAUAAGAACUGAGUUGUCGAGUAGCUAUGUUGUAGUAGGGAAGUGCUUUUGUUGUAAUUUAAUGCAUGUAGUUGAGAGUAGCAUUUCAUCAGUGGGAGAGAGGAACACAUAAUGAUGUCAAUCAAGGAUGUCCCAUGUUUUUUUCCUCUGAAUAAAAAGUUCACAUCUGUUCGAGUUUUAUGUCAGUUAAGGAUGUCAGUAACAGAUUUAAAAGGUAAAUUUGGAUUAUAUGAUAUCUCAAUGAUUUGAGUUUGCCGUACACAAUAAUAAUAUAAGCAGUAAUCUAGAAUUCAAUGCGCUAAAACAAUACGCAACAGUGAAGAAGGACGCUAAUUGAAAAGAUAAAUCUAAUCAAACUUUGUGAACGUACCAUUAACUUCAACUAGUUCUUACCUUGCCCAGAAAAAUGCUAAGAUGGAAUGGAAGGUUGUGUAGCAAAUACUUCCAUUUCAACUUUUUAGAUAAUUUGAUUUUACAUUUCAAGGCGUUUAAAUAUUUUAUUUUUCAUUUUUAAAAUUUUUAUUUUGACACGAUUUAUUUUUAUUUUUCAAGAAAUUUAAAUAUUUUAUUGAAAUAAACACGAUUCAAAUUUAUUAAGUUUUGAAUUUUUUUUUAUUUGGAUAUAAUAUUUUAAUUACAAAAAUAUAUCUACACAACAUUUGUGAUGUCUAUGAAAAAUAAUUUAUAUAGACAUUGAUAAAAUAGUUGAUGUUGUUUAAAAAAGUAUCUCUUUAUAUUUAAUUAAUGGGAUUCUCAAGCAAAAUGAUUUAAAAAUAGUUUUAGCCUACAUUAAUAAAUAAAUAAUCAUAAAAAUAUUAAUUGGAAAAUCACUUUUAUCAACAAUAAGUAUAAGGGUAGGAUGGACAAAGUGCAUUAUACUACAUUGUACUAUAAAAAUUUAUAAUAAACUAUAAAACAGUUCAAGAAAACUGAACUAAAAAAUAGUUCAAAGUAACUGAACUAAAAAAUAGUUCAAAGUAACUGAACUAAAGUAAUUUUUAGUUUACUUAUAGUGUAGUCACUUCAGGGAACUAUUGUUUAGUUCAUUAUAGUACACUUCAGUGAACUAUUGUGUAGUUUGAUGCAAUAGUUACAUAACUUUACGACUUAUGCUAUCAAUCUAGUCUUAUUCGGGGAUGUAGCUGUCUUGAUCAAUUCACUUAUCAAAUAGAUAAAUCUUGACCCUAUUCUUUUCACAUGCAUCUUGCUUUUCAGUUGGCAAACAUAUCACACAAUUUAUCAUUAUUAUCUACUGGUUUAGUGUGGGGUGAGACUUCAAAUCGUGGUUACAAGGACCAUACAAAGUCAUAGAAGUCCUUAUUUUUCACAAAUCGAAAAGGAAGCUCGGACUUCACAAACAUCUUCACCAACUUCAUUCGAUAUGCAUUUUGGUCAAAUUUAGAAAUAGUUGGUGAAGGACUAACACUAACUUAUGUAAUUGAUGAUUAAAGCUUUUGUCUUUUGAAUGCUUUUCUAUUAGGAUCUUUUUUGCAUCUUAUUGAAUGAUUCUACAUCUUACUUGUUCUAAUCAAAUAUUUAAUCAAAUCAUCACAAUAAUUACAUUUAGUUUUUUUUUCUCAAAAUAAAGCUUUUGUUUAAUAAAAUGUUCCCACACAAUCGACUUUUACUAUUGUUAGUUGAAGAAGAAUCCGUACACUAAGAUUUUAGAAGUAUUUGGUAUAAAUGUUUCUAUAAUUUCUGACAUUUACAUCACUACUAUUAAUUAAUACUCCAAUCAUACAAAAAGCAAAUAUAUCUAAAAGAUAUACCUACUGAUGUUAUCAAUGUGUUACCUACACUUUUUUAAGAUAGUUUAUACAAUUUGUGGUGGAAAGAAUAAGGACACUUUUAACUUUUGAGUGUGACUAUGUAUCAACCAGAGAUAUUUUGUUACAGUUUGGAGAUAGAAAAUUUAAAUAUUUGCCUUCACAUUACUUAUUACUAAAAGGUAUACAUAAUUGAUGCUGCAAUGAUUCGAAUUUAUAAAUAAUAGAAAAAACAUUGGAUUGGAUUUUAGAGUUACUAAUAAUUCUAGAAUAAAUUUUAUUUUCUUCUUGGAAAGAUUCUGCAGUGAUGAUUCCGUCCAAGAGAAAUUAUCACAUUUUUUUUUUACUAUUUUAACAUCAGAAUUGGUAGAGCAGUUAUCCAAAAGUUAACGAGUAAAAAGAAGAACAUGAUGUUAUACUUUGCUAAUUUAUUGACCAAAAAUGAAAGUGAAAUGGCUCUGUAUUCACAUUACACGCCCCGUGAAAGAAGAUUGAAAAAAAUGAGUGUUAUAUACAGUGACAUGAAUGAGAGUGAGUCAUGAAAUGGCAACAAUAACAAUCCAUGGUAGGGUAUGCUAUUGACGUAUGUAACUGUAACUUGAUGAUCAAACGCCCAAUCAAAAUAAUAACACUUCCCCCCAUCCUAUGUGAAAGUGCCAAUAUAACAAUAAAAGGUAUGUUCACCAGUGAUGAGAAAUUAUAAAGAAUAACGAUAUUUUGACUUAUUUAACAAUAUUUUAACACUGUCUACGAAUCAUUUUAUAAUUAAUUCAUGUGAGUUUAUGAUUAUUAUUAUUGAUUAUAAAAUAAUUUUAGAUCAAUCAUAAUAUAUAAAUAAUAUUAAAAUAUUAUAAAAAAAUAUUGUAAAAAAUAUCAUUAUCCGAUUAUAAAUCAUAUACAUAGCCACAACAAUUAUCAUCAAAUAUAUAUAAGUUUCAACUCGGGUAUUAUUCAAAAUCCUGCAUUUAUAUAACAUAGAAGAGAAUAGUCUAAAUACGGAAUUUGUGGAACCAUAUUAAUGUGAUUAUCUCCAUGGUCCAAUCUGAAAGAGAGUAAUAUUGCUCAAACUCUUAUUUAAUCUAAAACUAUAUAAAUUUUCAAAAUUAAUUCAGUUUAAAGAAUUUCUCCACAAUACAUACAAUAUUUGGUAUAAAUAAAAAAUUAUAUAAAUUAACUUGUGGAAGUUAUAUUUAUCUAAAGCUACAAUUAUUUUCCUCCUUUUCUUUGUUUUGGAUAGGAUUGCAAAAUAUUGAGUGGUAAAUAAAAACUAACUCCUUUUACUCUGAAAAAUAUAUUCCUUUGCAUUUUUUUUUUUAUUUUUAAAGUAAACCAACCUAUUAUGGUUUCGAAACUACAUUAUGGGAAUAUCUUGUGCAAAAUUAAUUUGCUUGAAAAGAACUAAAUAAGGCAUAGAGGAAGAUAUUAUUGAACAUCUCACAUUCCAAAUAUGUAAUUUCUAUUACAACUUUUUUAAUUACGGUAGGCUUAAACCGUCCUUUGGUCCUAAUAUUUGUGUGAAAAUCUCAGUUCGAUCUUCAAGUUUUGAACUGUCUCAAUUAAGUCAUAAUUUUUGUAAAAAUGCACAUAUUUUACCCUAACCGUUAAGUUGUCUCAAACGACGUUAAUUGAUUUUGAGAUGUAUUUUUCAUUUUAGGCUUAACCUCUCCCUUGAUUCUUAUGUUUGUGUGAAAAUCUCAGUUCGGUCCUCAAGUUUUGAACUGUCGGCAACAGCGACAUUUUUUAGUUUGAGAGGGAAAAAAGGUGUCAGUCGGGGGGUUUGAGGGUGGAGGAAUGAAUGAAAUGUGAUAGUGAUUGGAAGGAAAAAAAAACAUAGCCACAUGGAUUUAAUGAUUUUAAAACAUAAAAAAAAAAUUACAGCUCAGUUCAAAGUUAACGUCGUCUCAAUACACUUAACGGUUGGGGUAAAAUGUUGUAAAAUGUUUGCAUUUCAUAAGGACUUGAGAAAAAACUUGAGGACCGAACUGAGAUUUUCACACAAACAUAAGGAUCAAGGGAGGGAUUAAGUCUAAAAUAAAAAAUACAUCUCAACAUCAAUUAACGCCAUCUGAUAUCGGUUAACGGUUGAGGUAAAAUGUGUGUAUUUUUACAAAAAUUAUGACCCAAUUGCGACAGUUCAAAACUUGAGGAUCAAAUUGAGAUUUUCACACAAAUAUUAGGACCAAGGGAGUUUAUAAGCUUUUUUUGUUUAAAUUACAACUAGAUAAGACUAAAACCAUUUAUUUAAUUGCUUUGGACAACUUUUUCAAUUCGUAUAAUCUCAAAAUAUUUCAGGAUUACUAAUUGUUAUCAUUUAUAAAAAAAAAAAAUUUAACCAAUUCUAUUUCCUGAAAAUUAUAUUAUUUAAAUUUAUGAAAAUAACCACAAAAAGGUAGACUAAUUUCAAUAUAUGGUUUUGUUGUUUUUUAAUAAAAAAAAUCGGUGGUAACAAGACAAGUGGCAUGAAUGGACUUGAAAACAUUUUCCUUCUCAUCUUCAUUAUGUCUUUUGCAUUUUAGAUAUAGCAAAAUAAUUUUUCUUUGAGUAUUGCAGACUCAUUCAUAAUAAAAAUUACUUCUCAUGCUUUUUAUGAAAAAAUGCAGAGAAGUUCGUUUGACAAUGAGAACAUUAGGAAAUUUACUAUUCUUGAAAUUUGAGACGGAAAUACGUGAGGAGACAAUGAAAUUUGGAAUCAAUAUAAUAUCUUAAUAAAAUAAUAAUAUUGACAUAUUUUAAUAAAAUAAUAAGUUUAACUAUCUUUAAAAAAAUAUAAUUAUGGAUGACUUUUACAUGUAAAAAUUCCGUUAGUAUUAAUUUUAAAUAAUUAAAUUAUAUCAUAAAUAUUUAUAAUGUUAAUUUCUUUCAAAAUUUUAUAUAGUUCCUCCACGAACACGAGGCCCAAUAUAUCAAUAGAUAUCGGCUUUUAUUUCCUGCAACCUCACAAUUUAUUUGUGAACCUCCAAAUUUCAAAAUGACUAUUUUACCCAUUCUAAAAGUGAUUUCUAGAUUAUAUAUUUUAGAAAAUAUUUAGAACAAGUUUUUAAAAUUUUCAAAAUCAAAUUUUCGAACUAAGGUUUCCAGAACAGAAUUUCUAAAAUAAAAUUUUCAAAAUGCAUUAUGGAUCAAAUUUUUUAGAAUAAAAUUUUCAAAACAAACUUUUCGAAAUGCAUAUAUUGUCAUCUUAAACCACUUUUCUAAAAAUAUCUUUUGAUGAAAUAUGUUCCAUGCAAAGAAUUUUUCACAAGAUUUAAAAUGUAUUUUUGAAUGAGUUUUUUUUUUUUUUAUCGAUCUUUUUUUUCUAACAACUGUAAUUAUGAAAGUGACAAUAAUAAUAAUAGUAACAUCGUUUUCUAUACAUUAGAAUACAAUAGACUUCUUUAAGUUUAUGUAUAAAUUUUAGUCUUUCUUGCAUAAUAAAUUCUUAAGCUGUAGAAUUGUUUAUAUAUAUAUAUAUAUAUAUAUAUAUAUAUAUAUAUAUAUAUAUAUAAUUUGAUGGAUUUAGUCUUUUUGGAUAAAGUAAGUCAAUAAAAUUAUUUUGUAUUUAAAUUUUACUUGUUAUAUAUAGGUAACAAUACUAUUAUAAAUGCAGAAAAAACUGAAAAAAAAUUAAAAACUAUUCAUAAUGACAAUUAUAAAGUUUAAUUACAUUUUCUAAAUCAACUACUAUAAGUAAUUGUGAUAAUAAGUUGAACUUUCGAUAAAUGUCUAAAAUAAGUAAAUUUUAAAAUAACUUAGCAUUUAUUUUGUUUUGAUUUUUUUAAUUUUUUUUAAUUCACCUUUACUUAACAUGUUUUUCAAAUUUAAGGAUCAUAAUAGAGUUAAAGUAAAAAAACAAAGAAAUUGGAUUAGAAUCAUGUAAUUUUGGACAAAUUAUAAUUAUUGUAGCUAAGUGGUAGAAACAGGAUAAAUUGUGAUUGAUGUAGCUAAUUGGAAGAAAUGGUGUUAAGCGCCAGAAAGCGGAUAAGGAAGUUCUUAUGAAGAGGAAACCUCAAAACACCCCAAAUGUAACUUGUAUAGCUUGAGUCCAAAAUAUGUGGUUUAAGUCUUAAGAAACACAGUUUGGAAAGAUCUAGAAUGAAACCUCUGUGGCUAAGUGUCAAAGCUAGAGUUGAACACCACCCUUGACAAUUUAUAGAUACAAACUUCAUGUUCUCAUUUUAGGUAUUGAGUGGAGAGCUAAAUAUGUAGUAGUAGUGUAGGCAUACAAUGUUAGAGGCUCGAGAGAGAUGUUUUCAUUGUAAGUCUUAUGUCUAGAUGAUGUUGGUAUUAUUACAUUGCAAUAUUCUAAGAGUAGUAGAAUUCUCUUGUGUCGAAGUUGGAUGUAAUCAAUUAUAACUCUCUAUACUUUUACUUAUUGGAUAUUUAUCUAUGUUUUCAUUUAAUCUACAUGUGAAUUAGUUUAUGCUUGUUGUUGGAUGAAUUGAUCACUCGUUUGAUUUCACUAACUUAGGAUUGAGUAAGAAGUCGUUCCAACUUGUAGUCCAACUAAUUCUCAUUCUGCUUUUAGAUGCUAGGAGAUGUAAGGCUCUAGUUGGUUAUGAAGUCUUGAUCUUAAUGCAAAUGAUUCAUUUAAGCAAUCUGACAUGGGACUAUCCUUUGAUCCUAUAGAAGAAGAGCUUGAGGAAAAGUCAUUGCAAUUCAAAGAACAUAUGACAGUAUCAAGGACCAAACACAAUGCUCCAUGAAUAUUGGAAUUCAAAAGACAUGAAAAUUAUAACUUGGAGCACAAUUAUAGAAUAGUUUAGGCACUUAAAAGUAUUUGUAGUUUUCUUUUAAUGUUCAAACAAAUUGUUUUUGUUUUUAAAUUUUUAAGUUAUUUUUGGGCCCGAUGUUUUUGGGUUUUCUUUUAGGUUUUUUAAGUAGCUUAAACAUUUGUGCUUAUAUAUAGGAGCACCAAAUACACAUGUAGGCACCUUAGUUAGUCAAUAUAUGAAUUUUGAAUUCAGUAAGGGAGGAUUCUCUUGAUUCUUGUGAUAGAACUCUGAUUUUUAUCAAAGACUGACUUCUUUGUGGGAAAUCUUAAUUUACUCAUCACUCAACUAGAUUAUGGCAUCCUCCUACUUUGGUUCUUAUCAAAUAUGGAAAUAUUUGUGACAAAUCUUUAUUGGCUCAUCAAUAUGUUAGAUUGUAGUGUCCUCAUCUCUAUCUUAAUUUUGCAUUCUUCUCUAAUUUACUUUUAUUUGUACCUCUUGAGGAUUCAAAUUCAGAAGAGAUUGCACUUUUUUUUUUAUAGGAUCGUAUCACAAUCACUAAGGAAUCAUAUUGAAGUUUGAUGAUCUUAGGCUUUAAGUGCUAGGAAUAAACCUAGAAUUACAUUUAAAGAGAACUUUCGUGAAUGAUUUGCAUAAGUACAUAGAUAAGAUUAGUAGUGGUGCAAUGGAAGAGGAUGAGAUGACAUCUAGUCAUAACAUCCACUCCACUUAAUCUAUAUAAUAUAUACUGAUGGAUUUUUGGCAUUUGAUAAUUUCUAAAACAUUUUUUGAUCUAUUAAUUAAAUUUAUCAAUAAAUAUUUUUACCAACAAAUUUUUUAUCAUCGAAUAAACUAGAAUUAGUGACAUUUUUUCUAUUACUUACAAUUUUUGUUUAUUACCAAUAAAUUUUGUUUGUCGCUAAUUAAUAACUUUCUUGUAAAAGACAAAGUCUUUGCAUAAUACUCUCAUUUGAAGAAAUAAUUAUACACCACACAAAUGCAAGAAGGUUAUUACAAACAUAUUAAUAAUUCUAAUCAAAAUGUUCUUACUUUAAAAAUAUUUGUGUUACAAUAGAUGACGGUAAUCAUGUUGUUUUUCAUCGAAGUUGUUUGUCAAAAGUUUAUGACAAAUUUCUAAACACAAAUUUUGGGUAGAAGUUCACUAUCCAUGGAGGAAGUGAAAAUGACUUUACAAUCUUAAGGAUUGAAAAAAACAAAUUACCAAUUCAUAUAAAGAAACUAUCUUCGAAGAAUAAAAGAAACAAAGAGAAGUUUUCAAAGAAGAUGGUCUAAAUUAUGUAAAAAAAAUAAGAACAAUAGAUGUCAUAACUAAAUUGAUGUGAGAUAUGUUCUUGAGUUUCGCAAAAGUUUAAUUUCAUUAAGCAUUGUAGGCUUUGUCGAGCAUAUCAAGAUCAAGGUGGAGUUUACAAGUUUCAAGAGGUGUCUUAAUAAUUACGAAGAUGGACAUAUUAUAUUGAUAACCUCCAAACCAUAUGCGCCAAAGUUGUUUUUUAAUGUUUAAUGGUCAGUCUUCGUAUAAUUUGAAGCUUCUCAUAAUGCUCUUUAUAAAUUGUUACAUUAUCUUUAUCAACAUGGCAAGAUGAGGAUUUUGUAAGAUGUUCAUAUUCUCAUUUUUAUUCUCAUGUUUUGAAUUCUAAAUACAUAUUUAUUUAUAAUAAAUUUUUCAAAAAAAUUCAUUAAAUAGACAUAACACAAGUCAAAUUCACAUAAAGAAUAAACAUCAUCUCUAAUAUAAAAGCUUAAGAUUUAUAAUAUGUUUUUAACUUUUUUACUUCUACUUACUUAAAGUCCACACUUUAUUAUUUCCGUCAUCAAUUCACUCAAUUCCUAUUAUUAUGAAUAAAAGAAGAGCUAAAUGAUUUUCUUGUCUCAAACUUCUCUUCACACUAAAUUUCUUAUUGGGACUUCCUUUUUACAAAAUCUCAACAUUUUUUUUCAUAUAAAACAAGUUCCAAUAUAUACAAAAACAUAAUUUUGUUGUCCACUUUAUAAAUUCAACUCUUCCUUCUUGGCAUCGUCUAAUACCUCAUUCUAAUAAAGGACUUUCUAAAACAUUUGUGACUUCUAAAAAAUGCACUUUGCAUUUCAUCGAUAACUUUAUUCGAUGACUAUCUUAUUGUGAAGAAAAAGACGUCUUUAAAACCCAUCUUUUAGUUUGUUUGCAAACUUACACACCAUUUGUAAUGAAUAAUUUAGAAAUAAUUUACGAAAAUAACACAUAUAUACAAUAAUUAGAAAGCAUGUAAUUGAAAAGAUAUCUAACCGAACUUUGUGAACGAUCAACUUCAAGUUCUUACUCAGUUAUGCUGCCAAAGAUAUGGUAAAUAAGGUGGUGGUGUACGUUACGAUAACAUCGUAUCGUGUGCUCCAUACUUAGAGGUUUUCUAUCAAAAAACAAAAAUCAUGAUUACCAUCUCAUGUAACCAACAAAAUUCCUCCAUCUAUUAUCCAAAUAAAUCAUUGGAAAAUUAUAUUUUAAUAUCAAUUUUUCAUUUUAACACUGCACACGUGUUAAAAUGUGGUUGAACAAUUUCAAAUUAAAAAAAACUGAGAUAAGGACAUAUUUGAAAGAGAAAAACCAAAGUUUUUUUUUUAAUUUAAAAUCGUCCAACCACAUUUUGACACGUGUACAUUGUCAAAAUAAUAUCAAAAAUUGGUGUUAAAAUAUCAUUUUCCUAAAUUAUUAUCUCUUUUGGUAGAGGUAACACUCCUUAAUUUAGGCUUUUAUAUAAAUCUAAUUGCAAAUAAUAAAUAUAUGAAAUUGGGAAUAUUAAUUAUGGUUUGUCCAUAGAUAAUAUUAAAGGCAAAGUUUUUUUUUUUAAUCAAACCGCAGGUCUCUUUUCUUAAUAUGAUUCUCUUUCUUAGAACCAGUUGCAUUGUUUAUCAUUGAUUUGUGAAAAAGAUAUCUAUUAGCACAUUAUAUGAACGAUUUGACUCUUUUCUAAAAUUCAUCUCUUUAUAAAAUAAUCACAAAAUCUCACCUAUAACUAGUAAUUUAUGUACAAAAAUUAUAUUAAAUUUACUUGACUUUAUUAUUGAUUCUUUAUGAGACUGUAGUCGAUUAAGAAAAAAACGCCAAACAAAAGAUUAUAAUAAUUUAGUAGAUAAUAGUUUGCGUAUAAAAAAUUAAAAGAUAAUAAUCUUGUAUACCUAGAAACUUUAAGUAUCAUUAUAAUCUUAAUUAUUCAGUUAUUAUAAUAAUUAAUUGAUUAAUUUAUAUUUCUAAUAAUGAUAUAUAUAUAUAUAUAUAUAUAUAUAUAUAUAUAUAUAUAUAUAAAAUCGUAUAUAUAAAUGGUGCGAGGUAAACUCAAGAAUAGAGAUAAACGAAGGUCGUUCUCAAACUGAAGCCAACUCCCUUCUAAAUGAAAGCAAAAUUAAGAUUAGAAAAUAUUGAAGUUGAAUAAAAAUGAUAUAAAUCUAUUUAGAUGUCCAGAUUUAGUUAACAUGCUUAAUCCCUUCUGAUAGAUGGGUUACGUAUUGAAUAAUUCUUACUAAUUACAAACCCUAUCAUGCACAUGCAUAGUUGUUAAGACGGUUUUACCAUAAUGAAAAUUAACCAUUUUUGCUUAUAUAUUUAUCCGUUGAAUACAAGAGAGAUGGAGUUUCAGGGAGGUCUAGCAUUUCAUCAUGACAUGAAUAUAGUGACAAAAGCUAAGGAAACCUUUAGCCACAAUAAGUUAAUGCUAAGUUUCAAAAUGAAAUGUCUUCUACUCCAAAACCAUCUUAAGCAUUUUACGACAACUAAAGCUGUCUUGUGAUAACAAUGCUAACAAAUAUACCAUUGGAAGAAGGAAACCAUAGAUUACACGUUUGAGGUACAUGCGUGUCUCAAAAACCCAUAUUCCUUGUUCUGACAAGUGUUUGUGUGUUGAGCUGCAUACUUCACAAUCAUCACCAUAUAUGCUACUUUCAUAUGAUCAUCGAACAAAGAAAAUUUCCAGAAAUACAAUGAAUCAAGUAUUAACUGUAAUUAAUGUCACGAUCGUCAACCUAUAUAUUCAAUGCCAAUGGUGUACAACGUUAUCUACAUCAGAAUUGAAAGAAUAAUCAUGCAUAAAAGAUUCAAGCUCACGCAACCAUGUUAAUAGUUUAAAACCGAAAAUGAUUACUAGGAGAAAAUACACUGGAAUAUUUAAGCAUUUCAAUGCCAGCACUCAUUAUGUUUUCUUUUAAUACGCAAUGUGUGGGGUGUGCGAUAUUUUCAUGCAUUUAUUUAUCAACAUGGGCAAAUCCUCUCAUGAACGAUGAAUUACUAGCUUUUUCGUAAUUCUUAGGAAUUUUCCAAAAUAUAUAGAAUUUCGUUAAAGAUAUUCAUGGAGCUAAAGGAAGGAUGACACGAAUUAUAGAGAGGGAAAAAAACUUUGAAUUUGUGUUGUCUUGAAAUAUGCUCUAACUAAAGAGAGAUAAUUAUGUUGACACUCAAAAAGAAUGUAAUCACUUGACAACGACAACUUCAUAUAUUAAUAUUUUAAUUAUAUCUUUUUACAUUUUAAUAUAAAUUAUUAUAUCAUUAGAAUAGGUUAUAAAGUGAAUGUAUGUUGUUUUAUGAGGUGUGAAAGUAUAAUUUUUCAAAAUUAAAUAGCCAAUCAGAAAUCGAAAUAUAUAAUUGUUUAACUUGAUUAGCUUAAACUAUUUUAGAACCUUUUUUUCUCAAUAUAAAAGAAAAAAUCAAAUUCAAAGUCUUAUAUAAAGAGAAGUUAUCUUGUUGUAACUAUAUAAGCUAACAAACAUUACGUAUGACCACCAUGCUGUAACUAUCUAAUCUAAUAUACAUCUACAUGUAUUAUAUGAAGCUGUUGCAUUAUUAAUUUGAAACGUUUUUUUUUAAUCAUUUCAAUUUUUUUACUUCAUUCAAUCUUAUUUUAUUAAAUUAUUUACUUUAUAUAUAUGUUUGUAGACACUAAUCUUUUUUUAUACCAAUUUAGUAAUUAAUUAACAACUCAAUUUAUAUAUCAAUAAUUUUUAAUUUAUAAAUUAAUAUCUAAAUUCAUCAUUAUAGUGAUCAAUUAAUUUUUUUUUCUCUAAACACACGAUAAAGAAUUCUUAAAUUAACAUUAAAAUUACAAUAAGAAUGACUAAAAAAACGAAAGAAACACAUAAUAUACAUUACAUGUGCAUUGAUGAGAAACUCGUAGAUGAACAUUUUUUAUGAGUAUGAGAAAAAGUCAAAGGUUACGGAUAAUCCUUUGGUAUGAAUACGGUAAUAUAUACGAAAUAUUUAUAUUUUUAGGGCAUAAACGCAUGUGUAUAGUAUAUUAAUGUGAAAGUCGUACGUGAACAUUUCUAUACAAGUAUGGAGAAAAAGUGAAAGGUUAGGGACUGAUCCUUUCGUAUGAAUCUGGUAUAUAUGCAUAACAUAUCAACAUCUUUUUUUCCUUAUAAUAUUUUAUCUUUAAUUUCUUUUGUCUAUAAAUACACAAGCUCCCUUAACUCGUAGUUCCACACACCAAGCUACCAAAACCAUUCUCAUCAAAACAACAGUCUCAAAACCUUUGAAAGAACAAUAUAUCUAUUUUUCUGAUAUAAUAGACAAUAAUGGCCCUCCUCAAACACCUCCUCUUCUCCUUCACCAUUUUCAUCAUUUCUUUUGUUUUUUGUUAUGGCAGCUUGCAAGAGGACCCACUCACCAAUAUAUAUGUUCAUCAUUCACCUUCCGUUGAUGAUGGUGGGACAUUAUUCAAGAACUUCAACAAGCAAAUCGAAAAUGUUUUGAGCUUAAACAGGUUUGAGAAGCCUAGCUCCCUUAAAAUGGUUAAUGUCAAUGAUUAUGGAGCUAAGAGGAAUGGUGAUGAUGACUCAGAGGUACUUCAAUACUCCCUUAGUCCAAAACAAAGGUUUUCUUCUUCUUUUUCUUUUAGCUUGCACAGUGUCUAUUAUUCAUAAUUGGAUGUGUGAUAUAUAUUUCAGGCUUUCAAAAAGGCUUGGGAUGAGGUAUGUACUUCUGGUGAAGCAAUUCUUGUGGUGCCUAAGGAUAAUUAUCUUCUCAAACCAAUAAGAUUCUCCGGCCCUUGCAAACCUAACAUUGAAGUCCAGGUUACUUACACUGAAAAUUACGCUUUCUCCUCAUUUAUGCUUCAUCUUUAAUGCAAAAAAUUUGUUUUUUUUACGGAUAUAGGUAAAAAUUUUAAAACUUAUAUAUUUAGGCAAGUCGUUGAAGAUCCAGACGACUUCAAAUAAAUUCACUCUGACACAUGAGUUAGAAGUGAAGUCGUGUAUUCCUAAAACGAUUUCAGGUCUUGGUAAUCGAUUACUAAGCUUUGUAAUCGAUGACAAAAGACUGAACUCAUGCAGAAGAGACAUAAUUUCACCUAAAAUAGACAAAAACUCUAUGAUAAUCAAUUACAAGUCUAUAAUAAUCGAUUACGAGCGAGUUUUAGUGUUCAAAUAAAGAGUUUUUUUUUGUUCUGUAAAUUAAAUUUGUUAAUUUUUAUGUAAUUAGUAAUUAUUAUAAUUUUCAUUUAAGUAUAAUAAUAAAAAUGUUAAUUUGUAUAUAAUUAGUAAUUAUUAUAAUUUUCAUUUAAAUGUAAUAAUAGAAAUGUUAAUUUGUACAUAAUUAGUAAUUAUUACAUUUUCCAUUUAAAUUUAUAUAAACGAUUAUUAAUAAAAAAUUUAUAUUUUAUAUAAUAUUUGAUUUUAUUUCAAACAUAACAAUUUAACAUAAGAUAAGAAAGUAACACUUACAACAAUUAGAAAAAUCAAACAUUUUUAAUAUGGAACAUUACAGAUGACAUAAAAAUUUAAAUUAAAAUAUCUAUUUAUAUUUUUCCUUGUUCGUUUAUGUAAUUUUAUGAUUUGAUAUUUUUGUAUUGUUUAGUAGAAAUUGGGAGACGAAUAUCUUUACUGAACAAUACAAGGAUAUCAUAUCAUCAAAUUACAGACAAAUAAGAAAAAAUAAGAAACAGAUAGAUAUUUUAAUUUUUAUGUCAUUUGUAAUGUUUCAUGUUAAGAAUGUGUAAAACUUGUGUUAUUAUUCUAAUGUUACUUUUUUUUAUCUUAUGUUAAAUUGUUAUGUUUGAAAUAAAAUCAAAUAUUAUAUAAAAUAUAAAAUUUCUAUUGAUAAUUGUUUAUAUAAAUUUAAAUGAAAAGUGUAAUAAUUACUUAUUAUAUACAAAUUAACAUUUCUAUUAUUCCAUUUAAAUGGAAAUAAUAAUAAUCAGUUAUAUUCAAAUUAACAUUUCUAUUAUUAUUACAUUGUCAUAAUGACUAAUUAUAUACAAAUUAACAAACUUAACCCACAGAAUUAAAAGAAAAUCUUUGUUUUAAUAUUAAAACUCUCUAAUAAUCAAUUAUUAGAAUUGUGUUUCAUCCAUUAUUAAGAGAGUUUUUAUCUAUUACAAGUAAAAUGUUUCCACACGAGUUUAGCCUUCGUUAAUCUAUUAAAAGGUCUGGUAAUCAAUUAUCAAGAGACCUGAAAUCAUUUUAAGGUCUAUCAAUUCAUAUCUAACUCAUGUGUGAGGGUGAAGUUGUGUAAGGAACAAGAUUUCUUCAUCCUCUAAACUUUCCCACAACUUGUCUAAAUGGGUAAUUUUUUAAAAUUUUGCUUAUAUCUAUAAAAUGUUUUUCAAAUUUGUCUAUAUACAUAAAAAAAACCAAAAAAAUUAUUAGUUAGUCCGUAUCUAUAUCAGUAACUUCUGUUAACAAAAAUGAACUACUGAUGUAAAUUUUCAGAUUUCUGGAACACUUGAAGCAGCAGACGACCCAUCAGAUUACGAGGAAGACAGCACACACUGGCUUGUGUUUGACAAUAUUAAGAACCUGUAUGUUUAUGGGGGUGGAACCCUCGAUGGAAACGGCAAAAUAUGGUGGGAAAACUCAUGCAAAAAGAACAAAAAGCGAGUAAGAUAUUACGAUAAGUCCAAUAUUAUUUUAUUUAUUAUAGAACAAUACUAUAUAUAUGUGUGUUGUGUUAAUAUUUCAAACGAAGAUUGAUUUAUAUAUUUUUCUGCUUUCUUUUGCAGUCUUGCAAGGAUGCUCCAACAGUAUGUGUAGCUUUGUCAAAGAUUAUCAAGGAAAUUGGAUUGAAAUUAAUAUAAAGCAUACAAUAUACUAUGUUAGCUAAAUUAACGAUGAUUUAAUUAUUUUUGUUUUUGUAGGCUCUGACUUUCGAAAGUUGUGAGGACUUGACAGUGGAGAACUUGAACAUAGAAAAUGCUCAACAAAUCCACGUUUCAUUCCAAGACUCCGAGAAUGUUAAGGUUUCUGGCCUUAACGUGAUUGCACCAGAGGAUAGUCCCAACACCGAUGGGAUUCAUGUCACCAAAACAAAAAACAUCCAAAUCUCAGAUUCUGUCAUAGGAACUGGUAUCCAAACGUUUUCCUGUUUAUUUUCAUAUUAAGUAAAAUCUGAUUUUUUAUAAUUUUUCUUAAAAAUAUAUAAGUAAGAAAUGAAAUAACAUACUUAUAAUUCCAAAUAAAAUAAACCACAAAAAUACUUAUUAUUCUCAAACCAAAUGGUGGUAAAACAUUAAAAUCUCAAAUGUAAAACCAGGAUAGACCGUUUCACAUUAAAUGUUGUCUAUAAAAUUUUGUAUCUAUCUUCUUAAUAGAUAUCAUUAUCAUUAUCAUUUCAGGUGAUGAUUGUAUAUCUAUUGUACAUGGAUCUAAAAAUGUAGAAGCUACAAACAUUACAUGUGGACCGGGACAUGGUAUCAGGUAAUUAGCAUCACAUCAACAAGUAUCUCUUAAAAUACUAUUACAAACUUUCCAUAUGUUAUUCUGUAUUAAUUAUUUUAUUUGCAAUGGUGGGUUGUUUCAGUAUCGGAAGCUUAGGUGCAGGAAAAUCCAAGGACGUUGUUUCAGGAAUAAAAGUGAACGGAGCCAAGCUUUUUGGAACCAAAAAUGGAGUUAGAAUCAAGACAUGGCAGGUAAAAAAUAAUUUGAACUUGUAUAUGUGCUAAAAAAGAAAGUCAUCAUAAUCUUUUGGGUCUACCCUAUAUGCAGGGAGGUUCAGGAAGUGCUAGUGACAUCAAGUUUCAGAACAUUGAGAUGACCAACGUGACCAACCCCAUAAUAAUAAAUCAGAAUUACUGUGACAAGAAAAAAAGGCCAUGCCAAAAAGCGGUAAACAUAAACAACACUUUUACUAAUGUUGAAACAAAUUGACAUAUAUCAUUAUUAUUCACGAAUGAUUAUACAUAGGGCUCGGAGAAAUCCGCUGUAGAAAUCAAGAAUGUGGUGUACGAGAACAUAAGUGGUACAAGUGCUUCUGAUGUAGCUGUGAAGUUUGACUGCAGUAAGAAAUUUCCGUGCCAGAAGAUAAAAUUGCAGAACAUAGACCUUGCAUGUGAAGGAGGAGAUGAUGCCGAGGCUCAGUGUAACAAUGUCGAUAAGCCAUCUUACAUAGGACACGUUAAGCCUCGUUGCAGUAAAGAAUAAAUGUUUUACCUCCAUGGGGAAAUACUUCUCAUAUAGAUGAAUCAUACAACACGUACAUAAAUAAAUAUAUAUAUAUAUAUAUAUAUAAGUCAUUUAAUUUUUGGAUGACAUAAUUUGGAAGUUAUUUUUAACUUCUGAAUUCUGCAAUCUGAAAAUUCAUUUGCAAGAAUAAAAUUGGCUUUUGAAUUAGAUAAUUACAAAAAUAGACAUUAUUUUAUAUAGGUAGAGGAAAAGAUUUACAGAGGUGCAGAAAGAAGCUGUCUUAGGUCCAUUGUACAAUCCAGAUUGACAAAAUCAAACCCAAAUUGCUUAUUGCUUCAUCUCUGAUUACUAAAAAAUUGUCUUCCGCUACUACACAUGUCAGAUUUCAGAGAAACAAUUGUUCUCUCAUUUUUUUAUUCUUUAUUCUCUACGGAUUCAUUAAAGAUUACUUUAAUUUAAUCAGUAAUUUGAAAUUGAAUUUUUUAAUCUUUUUAAUCAGUAAGUAUUUGGAAAGAAUAUUGUGUCACUCAGUAAUUCUAGACAACUCGAAUAUGGUUGUCUCUGUUGAAUAACACAUGCAAUUUAUAAAUAUAUAUAUAUAUAUAUAUAUAUAUAUUUAAUUUUUUAUCUUAGUGUUAAAAGUUUGUAUAGUAAAAACAAUGUUUUUGAAAAAUAAAAAGGGAAGUUACGUUUUUAUAAUCAAAAAAUAUAAAAAAUAUUUUUUAGAUCAAAGGAGUGAGCGACGAAAGCCUCGCCCGAUCUAAUAAAUCAUUUUUUCUAGGAUAACAUACACGUUUUUUAUAUUAUUUUUUAAUCAUCCUGCGACCAAAAUUCAGUAUAAAAAUCAUGAUUAGUUUCAAAUCCAAAUUUUAAACUGAAAAGGACAUAGUGAAUUUUUUCUAACAAAGAUUUGAUAAAAAGAACUAAUCAACGCCUUGAGUUGAGUGCCACAAUUUUUGUUUGAGUUUAAAAAGAAAAAUAGAAAACACGCGUUGUAAAGUUUAGAAACCACGCUACUUUUUUUUUCUUUCGGUUUAAGGAUCAAAGUGCAUGUUAAAUGGAAGUUAUACUUCAUAAAGCUUCUAGAAAUAAUAUUUUGGAAACUUUAACUUUUAAUCAUCUAACUUACUAUCUAAUGAGAUAGAUAAAGCUUCAUUGUUUUUGUCAAUAUUUGUGCAAAAUAGGUUAAGAAGUUGAGAAAGUGUUAAUUUUUUUACCCUAUAGAAAACUUUAGUUCUUAGAAUAAAAUGCAAAACUCUCCCUUUUAACUAGUUGUUGAAGCAACGGUAAGAUUCCAAUAGGGGAAUGAAAGAAAGCUUGGAAACUCUGUUUGGCUUUUUAAUGGCAUGGUGUAACGGCAUGGAGAACUUUUGCUUUGUACUAUUGAAUAGCAACUUCUUGCCAUCAUGCUGGUGGCAUCUUUAAACACACAUUUCAGAUUCUAUGAAUAAAGUUAAAUCUAAGGGGCCAAAGUAGCAAUCACCUGAAAAUUUCUGGGACACAAAUUAAACCUUCUCAUCAUGACUGCUUCCACUAACCUUCUCAUAAACAACAGUGUCAUGUUUGAAAAAUAAAUCUCUUGUAAUGCUGAAAAACUGUAGUUUCCCUUUCUUAAAACAAUCACUUCAACCGUUUUUCAACUAAGAUAAGCUAAAGACAAAUAAAAACUGUCAAAUUUUCAGAUUUAAUUUGGUUGAUUAAAAACUGAAAUACAUGCAUCCUUUAUUUUCCCCUUCUGUUCUCUGUGAAUCUCCAAGUAGCACUACUAGCAUGAUACAUCUCUGCAAAUGUUUGAAGAAACUGAAAUAUGCUCUUUUACUGGGACGAUGGUGUUUAAAGAAGAAGAAAUGAAUGAGCAACAAUAUAAAACCAAAACAGAAAGUCCAAUAGCACAACUAGGUGAAUCUAACAUGAAUAUAGGUUCUGCAACUGACACAAUGCUACUCUAUACAUCAGUUAAAGCUAUGUAACUUUUCCCCAACAUUUGUAUCACUUGGCUAGCCAAAGCAAAGCAUUUAUCAACUUCUAUACUGACUUACAAUGUUUGUGUUAGAAUAGAAUGCAUCUGAUAAGAGCCUUUCUGAUUCAUUUACUUGCAUCCCCUGCUGGUGCUGAUGCUGGUGCUGGUUUUGGUUCUUCUGGUGGAGGAGAUGGAGGUGGAAGUCCUCCAUCAAUGCAACUUCUACACUUCUUUUCAACCCAUCCUUCAAUGUCGUUCUCCCCAUUGCCCCCAAAGUGCCUUCCACCACACAGUCUAGCAAUCAUUCCUGCAAUGACACCCACUAUUGUGAUCACUGCUAUGACCACCACAAGUGUCUCAAUUGACCUAUGUGAAUAACGGUUUGGUUCCACCACUUUGGGUGGUGUCUCAACAAAGGGUUGCAUUUCACUCCCCAUCUUGAACAAAAUGAUUCUGCUGAACUCCAACACAGCCCAGAAUAUAAAGAUGAAAUCUUGGUUGGCCCAGUUGAAAAUGGUGAGCCUAUAAUGACAUAUAUUUAUUGCAAGUUAAGCAAUAAGAGAAAAAUGGGGAAAUGAGACAGCACAAAGUUGGAUUCUGGUUUCUGAAUGUGAAGCAUAGAGUACACAGUAAUAGUUUCAAAGUGAGUGGGGUAUCAUUAACUACUACUGAUAAGUGAGAAAAUGUGUUGUAGCUAUAAAAUAGGAUUCCAGUGGUUAUGAAUACAUGUAAUUUUUUUGUCUUUGGUCUUUUUAUGUUAUUAUGUUGCAUUUCUUUUUUGUUGGUCUGCUUUAUUUGACUGGUUUCCUUGUAAAAUAAAAGAAGGUGUGACUUUUGAGGUGCAAAACAUAGAUGAAGGCCAAAAGCUUCUGACUCCACAUUAACUCGUUAAUAAUAUAUGGUUUGAAAUGGGACUUAUAGCUUGUCAGAGGAGGGUGGGGGGUCUUGGAUUCAAUGGAUUGCAUUGCAAUUUGCAACCUCACUCUCAAAUUAUUUGAUUUCUCUUCCCUAGUUUGUCCUUUGUGAUGUCACAUGUUAAUGUUCAAUCUUUUAGUCUGUGACCCACCAAAAACCUGGUGAUUUUGUUUGUUUUUCCUCUUGAAAUUUUCCCUAGGCUUUUCCUCAUGACUACUACUACUAACCUUGUCUUUUAUAUGUCUUUAGCAAUUUGAGAGUUAUGAGCUCUGCAUUCCCCUCUGUGACUCAAAUUGGGUGGUUUGUCAAGUUGUAGAAACUUUAAUGAGUACGAUCACCUGAGCAUUGAAGAGAAGGGACAUCCUUUUCAAUGUGACUCAUCAGACACCUCAUGGACCAUCGUAAUUUGCUUGACUCGGAUAUAGUUCUUCUAUUAUCAACAUAAGUUUUUUUCUUCAAAAAACAAAAAGAUGACACUUGUGGGUGUAUAGUUUACCUGUCACUGUUUCAGGCAUUAGUAUUUGCAUGUUGAGUCAGUAGUGCAAAUUAAAAAUUAUGACCAAUAUGAGGACGAUUCCUCUAAAAUCAUCCAUCUUUGAAAUCAAGGAUAUUUAAAAGUUGGACUUGCAUUAAUUUAAACAAACAUAUGAAUUCAAAUUAGAUUAAUUUAUAACACAUAAAUGAUGAGUAUAAUAAAAAUGAGCAAAAGAAUUUAUAACAUAAUAUUGGUGGAGUAAAGUUUAGGUUAAUUGUUUAAGUAGGAGAAGACUUUAUGCUACAAAAAUUAGGGAUCUCCUUUUGUGUGAAGGGUUUCUAUGAAAUUUUACAACUUAAACAUGACAUGGUAAAUUAUUCAAUUUGUCCAAGUGUGUGUUACAUUCAAUUCUGGGUUGAUUCCAGUGGGGAUGACUGUGUAGAAGGAGAUUGAUUGAAAGAUUUGAUUUGUGUUGUUGGAGCAAAAUUUUUUUCUCAAACUAUGAAAUUAUGUUGUUGGAGCAAAAAUCCCUUAUAUAUAUAAAUAUUUUCUUUUUCUUUUUCUACUAGUCAUUUAGUAAUAAUCGAAAUUAUCAUUUGAAUCUUUUAAGAGUUAGCUGAUGUACCAAGGAUUUAAUAUUUCAAUUAGAAUGGUUGUUUUGUUCAAUUUCGUAACAUUGUGAUGUUCAUAUUUGGACACACUGAAGUGACAAGUGACGGAGUGGAAACGGCCGAACAAGAACCAAUUAGUGUGUUAUAUUAUUAUCGGAAUUAAUUAAAAUAGUUAAUAUUAUUGCUAAUUAUAUUUUAUUAAUAGAUUAGGUUAGAUUAGAUGAGUUUUGAAGGAGACGAUUCCCUCCUUUUCCUGGAUUUCUGGUAACUCUGUCGUCUCUUUCUUUCCACGCUAUAUCCUCUCAAUUCAACCAAAAAAAUUCUCUCUCAAAAUUCAUAUUCGAUUUUCAAUUUGUGAAGGGAAGGAGAGAGGGGAGAGAGAGGGAGAGAAUUCGUUUUCUCUCCUCUGCGUUGGGUAAAGCUUAAUUCGGAUGGGGACUCCGGAAUUUCCAAAUCUCGGCAAGCAUUGUUCUGUUUCCGAUUGCAGGCAGCUUGAUUUCUUGCCCUUCACAUGCGAUCGCUGUGAUCAGGUUUUUCAAUUCUCUCUCUCUUUUUCUUUUUUAUUAAUUUAUAUGUUUAUACUCUAUCUAUUUCAUCAUUGCAUUGCAUAGUUAUAUAUGAUUGCAUUGAAUAAUUUAUAUUUCCGCGUUUUUACCUGUCAAAUUUCAGUUUCAAAUUUUCGCAUGAAUGAAAGAAACAUAAUUAGAAGAUCUAGUAAUGGUGUUUCUAAUGCUGAUUCUCUAUAGAAAUUUAUCUUAUAAUUAAUAAAGUCGAUUUUGUUUUGUAUCGUGGCUCAAAAUCAAGAAACUGGUAGAAUUGUGGAUUUCUAUUCUUCUGGUUUUCAAUUACACUUUCACUUCUUCUCUUCAAUUUCCUCAAGUUUUUGUGAAUUUCUUUGUUUCCUUUUGUGUGUAUUUGAUCAUAUCGCUCUUAGGGUCUUGUUGAGUAAAGGCAUUGAUUAGGAGAUUUAUAAAUAUAAAAAUUUUAUUGUCAGAUAAAAUUUUUUGUGUUACUUGAAAAGAAUGCAAUAAAACUUAUAAUAAUUUAUGAACUCUUUGGUUGAGCUAACACAUGCACAAUUUCUUGCAGAUAUAUUGUUUGGAGCACCGAGGUUAUAUUGAGCACAAGUGCACAAAGCCCAACAAAGAAGAUGUCAAAGUUGUCAUAUGUCCCCUUUGCGCAAAAGGAGUUCGCCUCAUUCCAGAUCAAGAUCCCAACAUAGCUUGGGACCAUCAUGUUAACAUUGAUUGUGAUCCAUCUAAUUACGAAAAAGUGACAAAGAAGAGAAAAUGCCCUGCCCCUGGAUGCAGAGAGGUAUUGGUAUUCUCCAACACAAUCAAGUGCAGGGAUUGCCUGGAAGACCAUUGUUUGAAGCACCGGUUUGGCCCUGAUCACAAAUGUUCUGGUCCCAAAAAGUUAGAGACAAGUUUUUCAUUCAUGAGUUUAUUUAAUACGAUUAAAAAAGAGGAGCCAAAACCCAAUUUAACUUCAACAGCAUCAUCUAAGUGGACUUCAAGCUUUCUCAGCGUGGCUUCUAACAUUCGUGCCUCAGCUGAAGCGAGCAUGUCAAAAUUGGGCAAUGAAAUUAACCAAGUUUGGCUGGCAGCAAGGGAUAGUGUGGGACCGAACAGUGGCAGUGGAAAUAAAAAUGACCUUCAAGAGGAAUCUUGCCCGCAAUGUGGUGUAAAGUUUUCCUCUGCGAUUUCUUUGGUGGAUCAUGUGCAACAAGUUCAUGAAAGCAAUGGGAAACCAUUAGGGGUUAAGAAGAUUGAGGCAUGCCCCAAGUGUAGUGGAGGGUUUGUUGAGCCGGUAUCCCUAGUGGAGCAUGUUGAGAGGGAUCAUGGUGGUGGUUCUGGAGCAUAGAAAAUUCAAGUUUUUUAAUGAAUUUUCUUUUUAUACGUAUUAUUCAAUCACCAUUUUGUUCUGUUUUAUAGCAGAAGAAUGUGAAUACUAAUUUGAAAAUGAGGCUAGAUUUGUUUCCAAUGAUCUUGUAGUUAUGUCAUUAUUUAAUGUCUAGAUCACUAUGUCAUUUCUUCAAACAUUAUACCUUCAUGUUUAGAAUCAAUUGAAUGACUUCAUUUGGGCCUGUUUCCUGAUCACGUAUUCUGCUACAAUUUACAACCUGUCAUUAAUUUGCCAGCUUAAUUCAAUCAAAAUAUUUUUAAAUAUAUAAAAUUUUGGUAUAUCAGUGACUGAAAUUUAUUAUUUUAAAAGAUUAAUUAUUGAUUUAAUUAAUAAUUUGUUUCGUAUAUUUAAAUUUAUAAUUCAUUUUUAUCUUUUUUUUUUCAAUUAAAUUCAAUAUUUAUUAUGAAGAUUUUUCUAAUAUUAACAUUAUUCAAAUUAUAUCAAAAUUUGAAAAGUAUAUCAUGUCAAAUGAUUUAAAAUGUAUAACAGGUCAAAAUUAGGAUACGCAUAUAAAACCAUAGGAAUAUUAAAGUAAAUGAUAAUUUAGAUUUUAACACUUAACACAUUUUAAAUCGUAUUAAUAUCUUUUUAAUGAAAAAAAUCAAAUUAAGUUUUUUUUUUUAAAUAUAAAAUCAUAUUGAGUUUUUUUUUUUUUUUUUUUUUUUUUUUUUUUUUAAAAAAAAAAGAUUCAAUAACCAAAUUAUUAAUUAAACCUAAAUUAUUCAAAGUUAUAUAAAAACUUUAUAACUUUAUCGUAUAAAUAAACGAAACUUCCCUUUUUAACUUAUUGUUUUGAAGUGGUGUACCAUUUAGAAUUUACUUUAGCAGGGAAAAAAAACAUUCUUGGUGAGACACUUUGUGGUUGUUGUAUGGAAAAAUACAUUAAGUUAUCUCCAAGUAGCUUUUCAAGAUUUACUAACCUUUUUCAAUUAAAAAAUUUAAUAAAAAAAUUCCCGCAGUUAGAUUAAAUCAAAAAGUGAUUUCACAAAAAAAAAUCAAUUAUGCAUAUAGAGAACAAUAAGAGAAGUUGCACUACCAUGUUCACUUCUCCUGUAUUUAUCCACACAAACUCGUAUUUUUAUUAUUAAUUUGAAAAUUAUCAAUAAAAAUAACAUAUACAUAUUUAAAACCUUCAAAACAAACAACAUGCAAAUUGUUAAAAACGUUAUACAAUAGAACAAACAAAAAUUAAGAGUGGGUGAAUUGAUUUCUUAAUAAAAAUUUACAUUUAAAAAAAUUUCAAAUUAGAGUUAUAAUAUUUUUUUAUAAUAAUAACAUUUAAAUAAAAAUAAUAAAGAAAUAAAAAUUACAUAAAUUAUUUUAUAUUAAUUUAGAUUAAGAGAUCCUACAUUGAAUUCUUAAUCACUCUAAGAGAUAGAUUAAACACUAAAUUAAAGUAAGGUUAUGAGUAAGAAAAAUUUUAGCAAAUAAAACACCUUUUUUGAUAAGAAACAUUUUUCUUGAAAUUCAUAAGAGAUGAAAUGAAGACACUUAUUUUAUCUAUCCCAUGAUCAGGCCGUUACAAUAUCUGUCUCCGUGUCAAAGUAUGAAUAUUUAAGUGAAAGGUUUAUGAACUUUUGAGAUAAAAAUAAAUUGUUUUACUAAUAAAAACUUUUAAAUGUUAAUAAUGUAAAUUUAAUAAUCCUCAGAAUUAGAACUCGCAAUUUAAUAAUUAUAAAUAACAUAGUGAGAUUACAUGUCUUGAAAAUAAAUUAAGAAAAAAAAAAGAGAGAAUUGACAAUGAUUAUGUUUUUCUUUGUUUAAAUUGAAGGAUAGACCACUAUUUGUGAAGGGAGGGAAUGUGCAAAUUCUGAUACCUAAAUCUUGCUAAUUAAUCAAUCAAUAAAUGGGAUAAAUAGAAGAAAGUAUUGGAAGAGGAAGAGGAGGGAAAUGAUCCCUCACAAACCGUUUCAUCAACCUGCAAUUUUCCUUUCCUCCUCGAUUCCACCUUUCUUUCAUUCCAAUCAAUCUUUCAACAUCACAUUCUGUAAUAGAUUCACACCAUCAUUUCAUUUCUCAUUUUCAUGUUUCAAGGGAUUCCCCACCCUCCUCUUUCACACACUGGUGUCUUUCCCUCCUUCAAUUUUACAUUGUUUAUCUCCCCAAUGUUUUUUGUGACAUUUUUCUCAUCAAAUUCUGAUGUUAUAUUAAAUUUUGCAGUUUCAGGUUCAGAUUGAUCCAUCACCUGCAAAAUUUACUACAUAUGUAGGCUUGUGGUUGAAUUGAAGGGAUACCCUUUUGAUAUUUUGGCCUUUCUUUCCCUUAUGCAUGUUCAGAAUCGGACUUUUUUGAGGAAGGGAAAGAAGGCAAAUUCUGAACCAAACUUGUUAAAUUUUGUAACUUUUUUCAUCAUUUAAUUGGUUUUUGGUUUUGGUAACAAUGAGAAAAAAAGUCACUAAUAAGGUCUCCGGUGUUAUUUCCCGCCAAGUUUUGCCUGUUUGUGGCAAUCUUUGUGUCUUCUGCCCUGCUCUGAGGGCAAGGUCAAGACAACCUGUUAAGAGGUAUAAGAAGCUCAUUGCUGAUAUUUUUCCUCGUAAUCAGGUUUGUUGUUUCUUUUUUUUUUUUUUUCACUUAAUUCACCCUUUUCGCUUUAGUUCCAUGUCUCUCUAUUCAUUACAUACUGUCAUUUCAAGACUGGUUCAUUGUCCAACCCAUUUGUGUUUUGUAGUUCAACUUUUGGAUCCUUGUAUCCACAAAAACAACAAAUAGUUGCUCAUACACUUCUCCUCAUUGUUGGUGUGAAAAUCCUACUAGAGCACAUAUUGAACAAGCAAAUAAAUACAAACUUAUUUUAAUCUUGAAUUGAGGUAGUUAAGUAGGCUAGUGAGGUUCAAGGUAAGUAAACAAUCCAAUUCAAGCACAAUUAAAUAUGUGAAGUAAUGCAAGCUUGAUGUAUAUAUUAACUAAAAGAUCCAUGCUUACAUGUCAAUUAAUUGCCUUAGUUUAAUUGACUUAUUCAUUCCUUUUGUGUUCAUAUUUGUCUCUCAAAAUACCUACGACAUUGAUUUUACUUUUGUUUAUGAGAUGACAGGAGGAAGGACCAAAUGAUAGGCAAAUAGGAAAACUAUGUGAUUAUGCUGCCAGAAAUCCUUUACGCAUACCAAAGGUAUAUGCGACCUUUAAACAAAAUGUUCAUACAAGUUUAAAUUUAUUUUAAUCAUAUAUCUUGCAUACAUUGAUUCUUGUUUAUGUUCACUGAAGUUAUAUAAUUUAUCAGAUCAUGCAGGUCCUUGAGCAAAGAUGCUACAAGGAGUUACGAAACGAGAAUCUCCAUUCAGCUAAAAUAGUGAUGUGCGUUUACAGGAAAUUUUUAUUUUCUUGUAAAGAGCAAAUGUGAGUUCAUAUUUCUAUAAUCUUUACGCUUGUAUAUAGAUGGAUUUAUACAUGUCUGUUAGAGUAUAUCAGAAGUUUUUGGUAGUUCAUCAGGUAUAUGUGUUAGAAUCAAUUCAUAGUAAUCUUUUGAAUUGAUGAUAACACUUACUUUAACAAAUUGUUCAUAGAAUUUCAAUGUGUCUAUUGAGAAAUUUUGCACGAAUUUCUAAGAGAGUUUUGUUUUGUUUUGGUAAUCUUUCCUUAACCUUGUAAAGUUAAGAGAUUUGAAAACAAGUUGUGAACUUAUUUUUCUUUGUUGACACAGACCAUUGUUUGCGAAUAGCUUGCUAAGUAUUAUUCACACGCUACUAGAUCAAUCACGUCAAGAUGAAAUGAGAAUUAUAGGAUGUCAAGUUUUGUUUGAUUUUGUAAAUAAUCAGGUUGGUUUUAGUUUCUUCUACAAUUACAAGUCUUAAGUUCAAUAAUUUGAAAUUUAUAAUUCGAUUUUCAUUUCUUGUAACCUUCAGAGUUUUGACCAGAAAAACAUAUAUGUAAGCCUAUAUAUACUUUUAUGAAAUUUGCAGAAUGAUGGAAGCUACCUAUUCAACUUAGAAGCUGUUAUUCCGAAACUUUGUCUAUUAGCCCAAGAAACAGGGGAUGAUGAAAGGGCAAGAACCAGUCGUUCAACUGGUUUGAAAGCACUUUCAGCAAUGGUAUUUAUUUAAUAAUAGUUCCGCCACUGUUUUUAUUAUUAACUCCUUUAUCGAAUAAUUUAAUUCUAGUAAUAUCAUCCACCUUUUUAUAAUGGGGUAGUUGCAAUUUUGCUUUAUAACUAUUCCACAUUCCAAAUAAGUUCAUGUUAUCUUUGUAUUUUAACUUCGAUGAUCCAAUAGUUAAUUCCUACUGUAAAUCUAAAAAGUGUUUUUUUUUUCAUUUUUAAAAAUAAUUUUAUGGUCAAUUGAUAUGUUUGCUUACCAGUGUAGUUCACAAUUUUAUUUUAUUUUUAUAUUUUUCGUAAUCAUUAAAAGCUCGGAUAUAAUCUGGGUUUCAUAUUGUGACUUAAAUUUACGGUGGUAAGUAUUUGUUUCUUUUUCGGUUCACUUUUUUGAGCUUACAUACUUCUUAGACUCUGCAAAAGAUGUUGGAAUGGAAUUGAUUAUUUAUUUCUGUGGUAUUUCCCUUUUUUUCAGUAAUUUGUCUCCUUUCUUCAAUUUUAGCAUAAUUUAUACACACAUCCUUUUGAAUUAAAUGACUAUUUUGCUUUAUAGGUUCGAUUUAUGGGUGAAAAUUCUCACAUGUCGGUUGAAUUUGAUAAUGUAAGUAAAUUUUUACUUUUCAUUCUUAUGAGUACUUAGUUUUGUAAUAUUUGCAGAUAUAUAUUGUUUAGUCUGCAUCAUGCACGUUCUUGCUCCCAUCUUAUGCAAAACUACAUUUUAUAUGCUCACACUCUCUAAAUCUUUAUAAGAUUAAUUUGCAAAGAAAUGUUGGUAAUAAACCUAGUGUUAGCCAACAUUUUAAAUUGAAUUUUUUUAUACCAUUUUUCUAGGAUGUCGUAGUUAAAAGGAUUAACAAUUUAUUACAAUAGUUUGCAUUAUUAUAUGUUCAUUACUAAUGACUGUAUUCUGAGAUGUUAUCUAUAAGGGUAUUAAUAUAUUAAAAUUUUCUAUCUAUUUAUUGUAGAUCGUUUGUGUUGUCUUGGAAAAUUAUGAAAUUCCCAAGGACAAUUUAGCAAAUACUGAUGAUGAGGAAAAAGGAGUCGAGAAUUCGUGGGUCGAAGAUGUUAUGGCCGAUGAGGAUGAAAACUCUCCUUUGCAUGAUGUCAAAACGAGGAACCCUUCGUGGACGAAAGUUGUUAACGAUAAAGGCGAAUUGAUUGUAGCAAUGUAAUUAUUUUUAGGAUAGUAAAUAUUGGCAAUAAAUUUGUGCUAUCUUGCACUUAUCUCAUGGGCUUAACAUUCAUAAAUUUACACAGGGAAGAUGACAAGAAUCCCGCAUUUUGGUCUGGGGUUUGUCUGCAUAAUAUGGCCAACUUAGCCAAGGAGGGAACUACUAUACGUCGUGUGAUGGAAUCUGUAUUCCGGUACUUCGAUAAUGGAAACUUAUGGUCUAUAGACCAUGGCCUUGCCAUUUCUGUUUUGAAGGAUAUAUUAUUUUUGAUGGAUGAUUCGGGUAGACUUACUUAUUUCAUGUUAUUCUUCUCUUGUAUCAUAUGAUGUUUCGUUGAUUGUUACUACAUUUUAUGCCUUCUCUUUCAUUUUUUUGUGAAUCUUGUUGCAGAGAAAAACACACAUGUGUUGCUAUCAAUGUUAAUUAAGCACAUGGAUCAUAAAACUGUCCUUAAAGAACCUCAUAUGCAACUUGACAUUGUUGAGGUCACCACUUCACUUUCCCGAUAUGCAAAGGUCCAACCUUCUGUAUCAAUAAUUGGUGCAGUGAGUGAUAUGAUGAGACAUUUGCGGAGGUGCAUACAUUCUUCCUUAGAUGAGUCAAAGAUGUCCCCCGAUGAAAUAAACUGGCAUAAGAAUUUCAGAAGAAUUGUGGAUAAGUGCCUUGUAAAGUUGUCAAAUAAGGUACACCAAUUUUUACACAGUUUUCAUUAAAGUUAUAGUUAAACUUCACAUGACAGCUGAACCAGAAAUGUCUUGAAUGACUAAUAUGUAUGAUUUUUGUUGUCAUUAAAAUGUGGUUGAAGUUAUAAUAUAUGUAGUUGUCACACAGUAUUACAUUUAUCAUAAGAAGUAAAGGAAGAGAUCUAACCUUCUUCUACUCAUGAAUAGGUUGGAGAAGCAGAGCCGAUUCUUGAUGUUAUGGCUGUGAUGUUAGAGAACAUCUCAGUUACCACAUCAAACUCUAGAACCACAAUCCAUGCUGUAAAUAGAACUGCUCAAAUUGUAGCCUGCUUACCUUAUAAGUCAAAUCAGAAUAAGGCAAGUAGUGGAUAUUCUUGGUGUUGUUCUUUCUUUUAUGAUUCAUUGCUUUGAAUUUUAUGGAUAAAUUUGCUUAUAAAACCUUAAUGUACAUCCCAGGCAUUCCCUGAGACCUUGCUUCAUCAAUUGCUCCAGGCUAUGGUCCAUCCAGAUCAUGAAACACGAGCAGUAGCUCAUCGUAUCUUUUCUGUUAUUCUUGUGCCAGCCUCUAUGUUUCCUGGUCCAAGCUUGUCUAUUUCUGACCGCAAGCCAUCAAGUGUUCCACGAACUCUCUCACGAGCAGUCUCUGUUUUCUCUUCUUCAGCCGUCUUAUUUGAGAAGUUAAGACUGGAGAAAGGUUCAAGUGAAAAAUCAAUUCAGUAUAAAGAAAAUAAUUCUGGAGAGGUUGACUCAACUAAUAGCAAUGGUGGGAUCGUAAACAAGUUAAAGUCAAUGCAUAAUCGGGUGAAUAGCAUAAAUAAUCCUCCCCUACAAUUCGAAGUUGAUGAAAUUGCUGCAAAAAAUGAUGAUAAAAACUCGGUGAGUCUCACAUUGAUUAGUUUUCACUAAUGAUUUCAUUAUUGGAAACGUAGUAGUUAGAUGACUAAUUCUCACUUUUCCAAUAUUCGUAUAUGGGUGCAUACAAACUCCCACUCUAACCACUAUGUGCUUAUCUUAAAUUAUCUUGAGGUUGAAGUUAUCAGGGUUAACAGUGUUGAUCAAAUUUUCACUUGUAUAUAGAUGGUUGCUGCUCUUAAGCUGAGUAGGGUUCAGAUAAAUCGAUUACUAUCAUCAAUUUGGGUACAAUCUAUAUCUCCUAAUAAUGUGCCUGCAAAUUAUGAAGCAAUUGCUCAUUCAUACACUUUGAUGCUGCUUGUUUCAAGAGAAAAGGUGAUGAUUAGAUUCUUGAUAUUGUUUUCUUUCUUGGUAUAUAAUCUCAAAAUAAUUUACUUUUUUUAAAGGGGUCCUUUUUUGUGCUUUUUUCCCUUUUAUUCAUGAAAAUGUGCAUUUACAUCAUUAUUUUUUAUUCAUAUUUAAGUUUUUUAAUGUUUCAAUCCUCAAGCACAUGGAAAAAGUAGGGAAAUGGAUAAAAAUAAAGAUGGAGAAUUUGGAAUAAAAUGUUCCAUUGCAUGGAUUGGUUAUUGAUGGUGUUAAACUUAAGCUCCUAUUUGUGGUCUACAUCUUUGAUGUAAUAUCAUCAUCUUUUACGUUGCAUUUUACUUUACUCAUCUAUUUCUCUAUAAUUAUUUAUAUGUCCAUAACAACUGUAAUGCGAUGUCUAUUUUUCAUAUUAUAUUUGUGAAUGUAUUAUGGAAUGAUAAGGUCCAUCAUGUAACCUAAAGUUGUAAACUAUUCACCCAAAGAUAUAAUAUGUAUGUAAGCAUUGCUUUAGGAUCUUACAGUUAAAAUGGAGAAAUGGUCAAGGUCGUGUUGUGUAUAGUAUUUUCAUUCUUUCGUUUUAAUGAACGGGACUUUCUUUUCCUUUUAAAUUACUUUCCAAAAUUACUUUGCCUUUUGCAGAAUUCAUAUCAUGAGUUACUGGUUCGAAGUUUUCAACUUGCUUUUUCUUUAUGGAAUAUUUCUCUAAAGGAAGGUGAGUUAUUCAUAUUAUAGUUAAAUAUGAUAGAGAAUCCAAUUGGGACAUGAUUGAGUUUUUCUGGGGUCCUUUAAUAGUAUUAGUAGAUAUUACAUAUCUUUUACAUCCUAUAUUUAUAUUGGACAACAAAAUAAUCUUUUCUAUUACUAAAACUAUAUAUUAUACUCACACUUACAAUUUAUCAUCUGUAGUUCAAAAGACCUUAUUAGUCUUUUUCUUUUCCUGCAUAAUAUUGAAUUAAGUGGUACUGUGCUUCUAAUAAACAUUAGCCAAUAAUUUGUAGCUUGGAAAUUGUAGUUUGGUGAGGAGUCUUCGAAACAAAGUAGCAUAUGAUCGUUCAUUUUAUUAGAAAACAAACACAUCUUCGAACAGGAAUGAACAAGCUUACCUUUGUUGUUGGAAUGUUAGUCCUUUCAGCUCUUAGUUCCUAAUUUAUAUUGUAGGGUCAUUACCACCAUCUCGUCGAAGAUCACUCUUUACUCUGGCUACUUCAAUGAUUGUGUUUUCUUCAAAAGAAUACAACAUUGACCGUCUUGUCAAAAGUGCCAAAGGAGUGCUUUUGGAUAAAAAGGUAGUGUCCGACAAAAGUUGUCCGUCGCUUUACCUUAUUAUUUCUAAAUGUUUUCACCAUAUAACCUUUAAUGUUUUCAUCAACUGAAUUCAGAUUGAUCCUUACCUUCAAUUAGUUGAAGAUUAUAAGUUGCAAGUUGUCAACUUUCCACCAGAAAGUCUAACCAUCAUCUAUGGAUCUAAAGAAGACGAUGAUAGGGCCACACAAACGCUUUCCGAGUUAUUGGGUUCUAUUAACGAAACACGAGAAAUCUUUGCUUCUGAAAUCAUUAAGUGCUUGGAGAUGUUUGCAAAAGUAAAACUUCCACUUGUGUUUAGGACUGUCAAUAGAUAAAAACAGUUGUAUUUCUGGACAUCAUGAACCUUUUAUCAUUUAUGCAGGCUGAAUUAUCUUCAAUUAAGGAACAACUGCUGGAAGACUUUGCACCGAAUGCUAUAAGUGAACUUGGAUCUCAAUUAACAGUGAAUAUGGCCACAACGGUGACUUAAAUGGAUUUCUUUUUGGAGUUAAUAAACUUAUGUACUUUCCUAAUUACGAUUGACAGUUAAUUUCACAACUUACAGGGUGCUUUAAUGGCUGACGACUUCACUUUUGAACCAUUUGAAAGUCAAACUAAACUAAAUCAUGCUUUAUCCGUAGAGGUCCCUAGUCUUCUAAGUGCUAAUCAACUUAUAGACCUAGUACGUGACCCCUUCUUUAUUGUUGUACAUUUUUGUGUUCUUUGGAUUGUGUUUUAAGUUCUUCUAUUAAUUACACAAAAAAAUGGCAUUUCACUAUGAAUGUAGGCUUCGGAAACACCUAAUCCAGCUGGGAGGAUUUCUGUAUCAACCGCAUCUUUCAUGCCAUACAAUGAUAUGGCUGAUAAGUGUGAGGUGCUUUUGAUGGAAAAGCAUAGGAUGUCUAGAUUGAUGAGUGCCCAACAAAAGCAAGAUAGUUUAGAGGACUCUCUUCUGAUGAAUCAAAAUAACGUAUUGAAAAACAUGGAAUCCUCUAACCAAAUGGAUUUCCAGAAGGUAAUUCCUGGAGUUAAAAUUUCAUGCUUACAUUCAAUUACUACGUAUGCUUGUUUUUGUUUUUACCUAACAAAAGUUUAUUAAAUUAUCUGCAUAAAAAUGUAUGGCUGUACAUCAACUGUAUGACAUUAUAAAUGUACCUUGAAAAUAGCCUUACCCUUCAUAUACACAUACGUUUGAAAUGACUAUCUAAUUAAGUUAUAUAAAAUGCAGGUGGGCUUUCCUCCCUUUGAUGAUAAUGUUGGUGUGGAUUUAUACAGAGGAACUUCUGGUGCUCUUCCAAUGUUGUGUGCAACUGAAUAUCAAACUCUUCCUCAUUCUUUCCAACUUCCAGCAGCAAGCCCCUAUGAUAACUUUCUAAAAGCUGCUGGUUGUUGAUCUUGUAGUUAUGCUAAAUUACACACUUUACAAGCUAGUAAGAAAUUCAUGACGAAGGAAGUGAGCAGUGGAUCGCAAAGGGAAGGUUUCUAAUAAGAACUUUAAUUUCACUGGUGGACAAGGCAAAGAUAUAUCAAGAAAUAUUAGUAUUCUUAUUCUGAUCAUAUGUUCAAUUUUGAUACUUGAUUCUGUAUAAACUUUCUUUAUUAAUUGCUAUGUUGUCCACUUAGGCUUCAUACUAAGCAGCCGUUGUAAAAUGCAGAGUAUAAUUUCAGUCUGCAUUUUGUGUUCACUAUGAUCUAAUAUUUACUGUUAGAUUGGAUAAACUUAUUCAUAAGAGUAUGUAGAAUAAAAAUAAAAAGUUGUGUAAUUUAAAAUUAAUUCAUAAACGAAACCAUUUAUAAAAAUGAUUUUCGAUUAUAUUUUUUUCAAUCUAAUUUAUAACUAAUGAAUACAUUAAUUUUAGUUAAGGAAGAUGUUUUUUUUUUUUCAUUUUUUUUCUUAUUUUCUAUAUUUUAAAAAUGUUUUAUAAAGAAGUUGAUAGAAACGAACUGGUAUAGAAGUUAAAUACUGAAUUUAAUUCACUGGUUUCCCUAUUUCUGUCUGUCUCCAUAGCUACCUUAAAAACAGUUAUGCUUACCAUCUAACUAACAUUAAAACUACCAACCUAAUUAAAAAAACUGUCAACAAUUAUUACAACAGCUAUCUUAUUUUCUGCUAACCCUGCAUAACAUUAAAAUCGGUUUAUCUUCUUAUUCAAAGAAUAGUACUAAAAAAGUUAUGUUAAUAGAAUUGCAAAGAUUAAGUUUAGUUAAUUUUGGUUGGAAACGGAAUCAUAAAUUGAAAUUAAUUAACUGUGUUUGUCAUUGUAGUAAUAGUAAUGGUAGUUGAGCAACUGUUCUUCAUUAGUAGUUAAAUUAAAGAUAUAAUAUAAAACAACGUUACAACAUAAUAAUGAAUACUCAUUUUUUUUUUUUAAUGAUUUGUUGAUUUUAACUGAUUGAUCAGUGACACAUACCAUACAUACAUAAGGUAUUUUUGAAUUUGGAAUAUAAAAAAAUUUCAAAAAUAAUGUUCUGAAUAAUAUUUUCAAAUUCAAAAAAUACUUUAUGAAAAACUUGUUUCAAUUUUUUUUAUAUUUCAAAAUGAUUAUUCUAGAAAGUAUUUUAAGCCUAUAUAAUAUGAAUUUCCUAAUUAACAAUAGACUAAUCGAUUUAAUGAUGGGCCGUAUGAACAGUUGGAUUAAAUGGAUCGACCAGCACAAUUAGCAAUUUAAAAAGCAUAAAUUAAGCAUAGAAUGAAGACUAUAAUAUUAUAAUCAUGAAUUUGAUUCCCAACUUAGUCAAUAAAAUAUUGUUUUGUUCAUCAAAAUAUUACUCACAGACAAAGACUUUCGCACUAAUGACAAUUAGUCCGACAAAAAAAUUCGGUUCAUUUUGUGACUUUUUCCAUUGUAGACCUAAUCAUACAUAUAAUAUGCAAUAGAAUUAUAUGGCUCAAAAUAUUGUUUAAUCGCAAUUGGGAUAUCAAUGUAUGAAUUCUCAAUAUUAAUACGGUUUGAAGGUACAAUUUGUCUUCUUCUUUUUUCUUUCGUUUUGAGUUGGAUUAGAAAAUACUUUCAGAGUUGGAAUCCAUUCAUCAACUAAGUUGACUUAAAAACACUAUUUUCCCUACCCAUCUCAUCUCUGCCGUUUGUAUUUCAAACUACCAUGGCGGAAUCAUUUCUCUUCAGCAUAGCAGAGUCACUCAUAGCGAAGCUUGCUUCUCAUGCUUUACAAGAAGCUUCUCGAGUGGUGGGUGUAUACGACGAUCUUCGAAACCUUGGAAAGACUCUCUCUUUAGUCAAGGCUGUUCUGUUAGAUGCUCAGCAAAAGCAAGAUCACAACCAUCAACUUCGUGAAUGGCUCACUCAACUUAAAAUUGUCUUCUCCGAAGCAGAAGAUGUUUUGGAUGAAUUUGAGUGUCAAACACUGCAAAACAAAGUGGUCAAAGCUCAUGGUAGCACCAAAGACAAGGUAAGUCACUUCUUCUCCACCUCUAAUUCACUUCUUUUUCGCUACAAGAUGGCACAACAAAUUAAAUAUAUCAACAACAGACUAGACAAGGUUGCAGCGGAUAGGCAUAAGUUUAGUCUUCAAAUAAUUGACGUUGACACACGUGUUGUUCAUCAGAGAGAUAUGACACACUCCCGUGUGAGUGAUUCAGAUGUAAUAGGAAGGAAAAACGAUAAAGAAAAGAUCAUAAAACUUUUGAUGCAGCAGAAUCCUAAUGAUGAUGAUACAAGUCUAUCUGUUACCCCAAUUGUGGGGAUUGGAGGCUUGGGAAAGACUACACUUGCAAAGUUUGUGUUCAAUGACAACAGGAUCGAGGAAUGCUUCCCAUUGAAGAUGUGGGUGUGUGUUUCUGAUGACUUUGACAUUAAGCAACUUAUUAUCAAAAUCAUCAAUUCUGCCAAUGAUGCAGAUGUUCCUCCUCACCAACAGAAUUUGAACAUGUUGGACUUGGAGCAACUGCAAAACCAAUUGAAAAGCAAACUUUCCGGUAAAAAAUUUCUUCUUGUUUUGGAUGACGUAUGGAACGAAGACCGUGUUAAAUGGGUUGAGUUGAGGAAUUUAAUCCAAGUGGGUGCAGCAGGAAGUAAAGUUGUAGUGACCACACGCAGUCAUUCGAUUGCUUCCAUGAUGGGUACAGUUCCCUCUCACAUUUUAGAAGGUCUUUCGGAAGAGGAGUCACUGUCUCUGUUUGUGAAGUGGGCAUUUAAAGAAGGAGAGGAGGAAAAACAUCCUCACUUAGUAAAUAUUGGCAGAGAAAUUGUGAAAAAAUGCAAAGGGGUUCCACUGGCAGUGAGAACGGUAGGUAGUUUACUAUUCUCGAAAUUUGAGGNNAGUGAAUGGNAAUAUGUGAGUNNNANUGAAAUCUNGAAUUUGCCUCAGAAAAAAGAUGACAUUUUACCUGCCCUUAAACUGAGUUAUGAUCUCUUGCCAUCCUAUUUGAGGCAAUGUUUUGCAUUGUUUUCCCUUUAUCCAAAGGAUUAUNNNUUCNNUAGUNAUGAAAUANCUGNGAUUUGGGGGUCACUUGGACUCAUUGCACUACCAAAAACGAAUAGGACACUUGAAGAUGUGGCCAAUCAAUAUUUGCAUGAACUCCUGUCAAGAUCCUUUCUCCAAGAUUUUGAAAACUUUGGCACUUCUUACAGUUUUAGAAUACAUGAUUUAGUGCAUGAUCUCUCCCUAUUUGUUGCGACGGAUGAGUGUCUACACGUGAGUUUCAACAUUCAAAAUAUUCCAGAAAAUAUUCGGCAUCUGUCUUUUGCUGAAAGCAGUUUGUUUGACAAUUUAGUGAUAAAAAAAUCAGCAGCUGUGAGAACCGUACUGUUUCCGAAAGGUGCAGUAGGUGCCGACGGUGAAACUAUACUAAAUACGUGUCUGUCAAAGUUCAAAUGCUUGCGAGUUUUGAAUUUAGAUGGUUUGACAUUCGAGACUUUGCCCCGUACCAUUGCUAAGAUGAAACAUUUGAGAUAUUUGAACAUUAGCAAUAAUCGCAAGAUUAAGAGACUCCCCGAUUCUAUUUGUAAGCUUCAAAGUUUGCAAGUGUUGAUAAUUAGCGGAUGCAUAGAGCUGGAAGUAUUGCCCAAAGGAUUAGGAAAAUUAAUCAAUAUCCGUCAUUUGUUGUUUAGCACAAAGCAAGUUGUUUUGCCUGUGAAUGAGAUGGCCAAAUUGGGGUCGCUUGAAUACUUGAGUGUUACAUCAUGCCAUAAUGUGGAGUCCAUCUUUGGAGGAAUAAAAUUCCCUUCUCUUAAAACAUUGUGCAUUAUGAACUGCCAGAGUCUAAAGUCAAUGUCGCUGGAUGGUCAAAAUUUUCCUGAAUUAGAAACAUUGGUUGUUGUGGCCUGCGAUAAUUUGGACAUGGAACUGUGGAAGGGUGAUCAUGAAGAAGAAAGUCCGAAGCUGAAGUUAAAACUUGUAUUUUUUAGCAAUUUAUCACAGCUGGUGGCAUUGCCUAAAUGGGUUCAGGAAGCUGCCAACUCCUUAGGGUGCUUGAUUGUUUCAAAUUGUCACAAUAUUGAAACACUUCCAGAUUGGUUACCAGCUCUGACUAAUCUGAAAUCACUUCAUAUAAUAGGUUGUCUAAAUUUGGUAUCUAUCUCAGAUAACAUUCAUCUUCUCACUGCACUUGAAAUUUUGAAAAUUAGUGGCUGUCCUAACUUAUAUAAAAAAUAUGAACCUAAUGUUGGAGAGUUUUGGCCCAAAAUAUCACACAUCAAAGACAUUGUGAUUUAUAAACCAAAAGAACCUAAGAAGAAUUAGAGGAAGAGCCAGACAGUCGGAAGCCCCUUUUCUGGAUGUGUAUUCAUAAUGUUGAUUUUCUUUGUGUGGUUUUCCAGUUUUUCUGUCGUGAAAAUUAGUUGGAGCCAGUAGUUAAGGCAUUUCAAUUUAGAGAGACCUCCAUGAUAUAAUUUUGUAAUAGUGCUAUAUUUGUUAUUUCUAACUGCUUUGUUUUGUGGAUUAUUGAUAUUGAUGUACUCAACUUCAGUAUUUCCGUGACCUAAAUAUUGUCUUUCACUUGUGAAAAAUAAAAGUAGAAGACAUGUAUAGAAGUCUGAAUAUUAGACUACUUUUGCACUAUACCUUAUGGCUUUUUUAUUUUAGAGUUUGCAUUACUAGAACUUUUAAUAUAAUUUUUGUAAAAGUUUGUUAUCCAGAUAUUUUAUCUUUUACAUUUUAUUUCCAUUAGUUACUGUAAUUUCAAAUAGAUAUAAUAUUCUUACACUUUUUAAUUUCAAAUAGUGUGAUUUAAAAAAAUAUAUAUUAUUUGUAAACUGUUUAUAAGUUAUUUAUAUAAUUUUUAAUUAAAUGUAAUAAUUGAAUUAAUUAAAAUAAAUAAUUCAUAUAUAAAUAAAAUAACGAUUAAUAAUAUUAUAUAUUUUAAGAAUAAUUAGUAAAAUAUUUUAUUUUAGUACAUAUUUUUUUUUUUACAAAUUUAAUAUGUAUAUUUCAGAUGAACCUUGAAAAUAAAGUUCAAUCUUAAAAAAUAAUUGACUUUAAUUGUUAUUUAUUCAUUUAAAAUCUCCGAAUGCUUAAUAUCUUUCAAAAGUUUUAAUGUUAAUUAUUCACCUUGAAUUUUAUAGUCAAAAUAUACAUUAACUUAAAUAAUUUCUUCUUCACCAACUAUUAAAGAUAAAACAAAACUAUUCACUUAUUUUACUGAUUAAAUUUAAGACAAAGUAUUGUUUUAUCAUCAAAAACAUCAUGACACAUCAUAAAAAAAAUCAAGACAAAUUCAACCAACCAAAAAGAAAAUAAAUAUAAUAUAUUAUUUUCAAUUAAACUAUAUUGUGGGAUGUAAAUAUUUUUUUGACAUUUUAUUUAAAUUCAUAUCUCUAAAAAAGAAACAAUGUCCACCAUUGAGACUUUUUUUUAAAAAAAACAUAAAUACAAAAUACGGACUUUUAAAAAAAAUAAAUAAACAUAAAGAUAAAAUACAAUAUCUCUACUCAUUGAAUAAAAUUUCAAUCUUCUAGAUUUGUUAUCAUUUUUUAACACAACAUUGUUCACUUCUUACAACAUAUUGUCAAAACAUAACUCUAUCACAAAAUUUAGUAUAUAAAAAUAAAGCAAAUACAAAUAAAAAAAGCAUAAAGAAAAAUCAUUUCUGAAAAUAGAGAGAAAAAUAAGAUAUAAUAUAUGUGUAGAACAUUAAAAAAUAAGAAAAGUUAUUAAAUGAGUAAUAGUUGAGUGAAAUACAUUUAUAUUUAUUUGAUACAUAUUAUAUUUUUCUAAAAAAAGAAAAAAAUAAAAAGUAAAAAAGAAUAAUAUCAAAUGUAAAAAUGAAAAAGAUAUAAUAUUGAAAUAAAAAAAUACAAAUAGAAAAAAAAAACAUAAAGAAAAUAAUUUCUGAAAUAAGAUAUAACUAUCUUGUAGAACAUUAAAAAAAAUAAGAAAAGACAACAUUACAGUUUUUUUAUAUAAGUAAUUUAAAUGGACAAUCUUUUACUAGUUUAAUGUGAAGACUUAUGGACUUCAAAAAAUAUGUCAUCGUAUUUUUGUGUUUGAACUAAACUAUUAUUUUAAAAAGUAUACAUAUGGAGUCACAUGAAUAAUGUUUUCCUCUUCUUAUUUUUUUCAUAACUAUGAAUAUUAUUAUAACUAUAAUCAUGUUUUUAAUUUUAUACUUCACAAAAUGGUUUCUGGAAGACAAGGAUUUAGAGAAUGAUCAAGAAAGAUUGUAGAAAUAUGAUUUGCAAGGAUAAUAAGAAUGUGUAAGGCACAAAAUCGGGUUUAAGAAAUAAUAAUCCAUACUAGAUCCACAAUAAAUAUAUAUAUAUAUAUAUAUAUAUAUAUAUAUAUAUAUAUAUAUAUAUAUAUAUAUAUAUAUAUAUAUAUAAAAUACACGUCUAAUUUGUUUUCUUGAAAACUUAUUUUCAGAAUAUAUUUUUUAAAAUUUAAAUUUAAAUAUUUCGGAAAGUACUUCAUCAAAUAUUAUUUUUUUUAGAAUACUUUUCGUAAUGACAGUUUUUUUAACUUUCAGAAAACAGUUUUAGAAUAUUUUUUAAGCUUCAAAAAGUAUUUUCAUGAAAUUUUCAAAUUUUAAGGCAAUCUAAAAAUAGUUUCUGGAAAAAUAAUAUUUUUAAAAAUAUAAAAUAUAUUAAUAAAUCUGGAAAGUAUAUAUAAAUAUCAACUGACGUUGAAAAUAGUUUGGGCUGUAGAAUAAUGGGCCGAGUUGGUAAAGUAGCCCGGCCCAUAUAUGUAUUGAAUGCAGAAAGUGAAGUAGAAGCGUUCUUGUUUCUCUUCUUCCAUUUCGUUCUUUCGCUCAAUAGAUCUCGAGUUUCAGGUACGAACCCUAGACUUCUUCUCUUACCUUUUCGAUUUCAUGCCUCGCAUGAAUUUAUCUCAAAUGUCUUAUUUUUUUUUUCUCGUUUAAUUUCUGCGCUUCUUUAUCAUCUUCACUGGGUUGAUUAUCUGAAAAUUCAAUAGACUCCAAUUAGGACCGGAUGUAACUUUUUUUUUUCGACUUUUAAUUUUUUAUUACUUUAUUCAACCAAUACAUGGCACAAUUAGGGAUGUGUUGCCUGUACCAAAUUUACAUUUUCUGCGCAAAUUUGAUUUCAAUUUCAAAUUUUCCCCUUGAAAUUUGCCUAAUCUCCUGUAAACUGGUUUCUGUGAGAAUCUCUUACCUUCUCUAUUCUUUCUAUGCUCAGUGGUUUCAAUGAAGAAGCUUGUUUGCUUUCUCGUGAUGGACUUUAUCAUGUAAAUACAUCAAAUCAUAACGUCUUUUACAUAAUCGCCUAACCUGUAGGCUUAUUAAUAUUUUGGAUGAUAGGUCUUAAAAGUUUUCCCACAUGCAAUUCAAGGGUUUUGUUCUUACAACUUUCGGUUGAUGUAUCAUUCCAUAUGAUUUGACUCCUCACGGUUUCUAUUUUCUUCAGUUUUGUCAUGUUAAUCCAUUCAACCAUCUCCUGAAGCUAGCAUUUUGGGUUUAUUUAUAUUUUUUUGUUGUGGGUUGCUAUCUAAUAUCCUUGAGUCUCGAGUUGUUCGUUUGUUUUGUUAAUCUAUACAACAAUCUCCUUAAGCUAGCAUUUUGUAUUUGUUUAUAUCUGUUAUUGAGCGUUGCAGUCUAAUAUCAGAGUCUCGAGUUGUUAGGUUGCUUAGCAUUUAAACAGCGUGUAGUUUUUGUCAAAGGGAUUUCCACUGCUAUAUUCACGAGUUUGUAAGAUUUUGGCAAUGUAGUUGCUUUACCACUUUAACCAACACGCUUUCAUUCAUUUUUUUGGUGCCUGUGUAGUGUAGUUUAGUGUGAAAUUCCACAUUGAUUGUUUUUUGCAAUUUUAUUGUGUCGUACAAUCUGUUUAAUUGGAUAGGAAUGAUUUCUCUGCCAUUCAUGUAGCCGUUUUCUUUCGAUUUUGAAUUUUGAUUUAUUUAUUCUUUUGUUUUUUAGCGUAUUCUGCAGUCAUGUCAACCAAGUAUAUCGUUUCUGCCAUUCUUGGAUCGUUUGGAAUUGCAUGGGUUUGUGAUUAUUAUGUUUCAGAAAAAAAGAUAUUUGGAGGUGAGUAGAGUCUUCCACCUGAAACAAUUUGCUUUCUGGCUUUGUUUUUAGAGUGUGUAAUUCCCCUAACUGAUUUCUUCAGGUAGUACCCCUGGCACUAUUACAAACAAAGAGUGGGGGGAAGAGACUGACAAAAAAUUUCAGGCAUGGCCUCGUACGGCUGGUCCACCAGUUGUGGUGAAUCCCAUAACUCGCCAAAAUUUCGUCGUCAAGUCUCGCUCUGAGUGAUAAUUUUUUGUUCAUGAAUUUUGAGUUAAUUGGUGCACACCUUGAUCAUGGGAAUAUGUUCCCGUAACUCCUCCAGUUCAAUUAGUGUUUCUAUGUUUUAACGUAAAUGUUUACUUGCUUAAUAAAAGGUUAUUUAAACAAAAUGGAUUGAUUAAUGCAUAUUCUUGUAUUCAAAUUCUCUGUUUAGUCUCUACCUUGGUAUGAAUGUGAAUCAAUGCGUGAAAUUAUGUUUAGCAGAGGUAUUCUAAAAAAUAUUACUAGUGGUAUAUGCUACUAUCGGGUGCAUUUAGCCACUGCCAUUCGGUGAGAGCAAUCAACUUUGGAUUGUUUCCCCUUGCUUUAAAAUUACAAGUGCGGUGUUGAACGUAUAGUGGUUAAUUGAAUUUUUCCAUGUGCGUGGAAUUGUUAAUUUAUUAGUUUGCAUCAUGGUCCAUUCUCAGUAAUUUGUGAAUCUCUCACCAAAUCCGAGUGAGGGUGUUCUGAGAGCAAGUUUUAGCUUUAUUCAGCGGUAAAACAACACGCAGAAAACUCAUUCUUAAUAUGAUUGUGUGGAAAGACAAUUGCUGAUUUACUUGAUUUCUGGUCUUUUUGCUGGCUUUUAGAAUUUAUUGUUGGGUUGCAGCUGGAGAACGUCGCCCUUUGACUUGUCGAGAUGUGAUAGUGUUUGGGAGGAAAAAAAUUGGAUGAGAUAGAAAUAUAUAAGAAUAGUAGUGAAUUGAAAUUGUUAAGAAAUGAAAGAGAAAUAUAGAUGUUUGUUUUAAGAAAAAUUGGACAGAGUAAAACAAGUAUUUUUCAUAUAAAGACUGAUUGUGAAAAACUGAUAACUGAAACUGAUAAAGAAUGUUCGGGACUUGUAUCCAGGAUAAUGCAGUACUUUCAAUUAUCUAAAGUCGUAAUAAAAUUAAAAGAAUAUUUAACAAAAAUGUAUUUGUCGUUGGUUUUGUAAUCAUGACCGUGAUUGCACUUUAUUCUCUAGAAGUGCAUUUCCCGAAUUUAGAGUAGCCAAAUUAAUUAUACAAAAUUGGGAAUGUAUUAUGAAUAAUUUGAAAACAAAUUAUUUGAUGAACCAGCCAUUGGUUAACACGUGUUUUUUUAUAACAUCAGGAGAAAACAUACGUGUCAUUUUUUAGUUUAAAGUACAUCAAUAAAAUAAAAAAUAAAUAAUGAAUCAUUGAAAAAAAAAUGACAUGUUGGUUCAAAAUAUUAUAAAAAAAUUUGUGUUAAAAUAUUUUUUUUCUAAAAUUUGUUUUUACCCUAGUGAUAUUAUAUUAACUUUAUCUUAUAGUUUGACAACUGAAGUAAACAAAAACAAGUAUCUAAAAAUCAAUAUUAUCUCACAACUCAAAUAUAAGGAAAAAAGUCACAAGAAUUAAAUAUGGAUAAAUUUCAAUCCUCUAAACCUUAUUUAUGCUACUAUUUUAAAAACUACUUUUAUUUUUAGAUCAAACGUAAUUUUUAAUAAAAAUAUAAUUUUCGGACAAAAUAUAUCGUUUAUUAUAUAUAGAAACAAUAAUAUUAAAUAAAUUUAACUACUAUUCUUGAUUAACAUUGAAGUAAUUAGUUUUACAUAUAAUUAAGUCCAAAUUUAUAUAAGUUUACUAGAAUUACACAGUUCGACAUGAACUAAACACACGUGCAAUGCGAAAAUCAUGUCACUUUGUAUCAAACACCAUGGUGCUUCUGGGUGGACAUGCGUAUGUAUAAUGGAAGCCGAGAUUUUGACACUCCUAUUUUGACACAACUUUAAUAACGCCACAUGUCACCUUUCUAUUGGGCGAAAUUUUUAAAAAAAAAAUCAGCAUUUUGACGUCAUGCAGUUGGAGAAAAUUUUAAUAAUUUAUUUCCAUCUUUGCCCUUCAGCAGAAUCAUGUGAUUGUAGUUAUGUUUCUUCGUGUCUUCAUCCGAAACCACCACUUCUUCCGAUACGUGAUUUUUCUAGGGUAACGGUGUUGGGAAAUCGUUUUGGGUUUCUUUUUCCGGCAUUUGAGUGUCNUUCGUGGUUGGGGUUGCAGUGGAGGCUUUCGUUAUCGGUGUGGGUGUGGCGUUCAUUGGCUGUCGUCAUUGUUGGUGUGUUGGGCUUGCGAAAUGACGACUUCUUCGACGACGAGGGUAAGGGCAUCGUACUNUGGGUGUC